UCUCUCUCUCUCUCUCUCUCCUUUGAGUGUUUCGGCGAUGAGUAUGAAUGUGUAGGGAUUUUAGGGUAGAUGAUGGAGGAUGGAUGAUGGGUAAUGGAUCCCUUCAACAAUGACCUAAACUCCCUAUUUAUAAACCUCCUAGAAAUCCUACCUAAGGAAUAAUUACAAUUGUUAUAAAAAUAGGAUUCCUUCUAAAAUAAAGUCUUCUUUAUUUCUCCUUGUUUGACUUGAUAAGACUUGCACCAUCUUGAACUAGGAAAUUUGACAACAUUCCUUGCAACAAAAGGAAUGACUUGGCUUCUUUUUAGUUGAUCUUCAUCUACUUGCCUUUUUUUUAGCACACUUUCUCCUAUUUCACAAUUCCUUCACAAAUCUCACAAAACUAAUUAAAAACAACCAAUUUAAACCAAGAAAUUAAUAAAUAAAUAAGCAAAGGGGGCAUAAAAUAUAUAUAAAAUAUAGACUUAUCAAAUACCCCCAAAUCUAUCUUUUGCUAGUCCUCGAGCAAAACUGAAAAUCAAAAAUAAAUUAAAACAAACUAACUAAACUAAACCACUUUCGCAGGUAAUCUCGAUGGCACUUAGCAUGUGCCACAAGCCUUUAAACCUCUAGGUGUCCCUAGUAGGAGGAGUUGUGUCUCCUGAGGGUUUACCAGUCACGACACCCACAAACACUCCUUGCAAAACAAAUUCGUUAAAGCAAUACUUCCAACAAACUAAUAAUAACCAAUGAAUGCCAAUCACAAUUAAAAAACUAAAGUUAUGCCACUACAAAUAAAAUGCACCAUAGUGUAAAGUGUUAAGCCAAAACUCCAAGCAUUCAAACAUAAAGAUAACCAUAUUCGGCAUGUGUACAAAUUCGUCUCAACUCUAGGCCUCACAGGAUAACUCUCAAUUUUCUCACAGAACCUAGGGUUGCACUCUUACCCCGCAUAUGUGAAUGAAGUUAGGUGAAGAAUUCAAAAUAUAAGACACAUAUGCAUCCAAAAAUGAAUAAAAGGAAAUUUCUAAAAAUAGAUCUCAUGGAAAGGAAAUCAAAUACUAAAAACCAUAGAUGAAGUACAUACCUCUACUUCUGAGUAAGAAGUCCCCAAAAAUCCGUUAGGUCUUUACUAUGGUUGUAAUGAAGGGCUAGGUUAUGGGUUAUGAAAGAAAGGGAAGGAAAUACUAGAACUUGAAACAUACCAAGGCAUUUAUCACGUUAUAAGGCUCGGCUCUUCAAAUUUAUUUCACAGAGGCGUCCAGGAUUUUUGAUAUGCUUUACAUUUUUUUUUUCUUUAAUAGAUUUCUCUCUUUUUGUUUUUUCUUUUUUUUUUCUUUUUAUUUAUUUAUUUAUUUUUAAGCACAUAUUUCCUCGGUACACGCCACCUCUUUUGUUGAUGUAGAGAUUAACCUUCAUCCUUGUCUUCAUGCCAUGGCAUAUCCCAAGUUAUAGGGUAUGGCUAAAAAUAGGGUGAAAAGGGUAAGGAAAUAUUGUGGGUGAUGAAAGAAAAGGCUAAGUGUUUGGCUUCAAAGGGUUGAUGGCACACACAAUGGGUAGGACAUGAGGUUUUAUUUAGUGGUUAGAACAUGCAUAGCCUAACAUCAUCUCUCAAGGUCCAUCCAACUCAAAAGUAAAAGCAUGAGAUGAUUCCAAAAAUAGAGAUUAGUUCUUAGUAUUCAAUUCAAAAGCCUAAUUGAGAUCAAUUUAAAUAAGAAAGAAAGAAAAUAGUGAAUAAGACUAAUCCCAAAUACUCUCUCAAUGAAUGGCAAUUUGGCUCAAGUAUCUCACAAUGGUAGCCUCCACUAUUUCUCCACAAUCAUCCAAGUAUAGCUAGCUUGUCUAUUAAAAUACUUGAAGUAUGGCCAUGUGAAGUGCUAUACUUAUGAUGCAUAAACUUUCAUGGCAACACUUUAGUUAAAGAAAUAAGAUCAAACAUCACAUAUACAUCACUAUUAGUAAGAGAAAGUAAAAGCUUUAACAAAAUUUUUAUUUUUAUUUUUAAAAGUUAAAGGCAUUUUGUGAUCUUUUUUUUUUUUCAAACAAAUGUGAGUGAAUUUAUGGGCCAUAAUUUCUUAGGGAUAAAGAAAUUUCAUCAAAAGGAAGAGGACACACCUGGAAUAGCUCCUAGAAACCUCUGAUCACAAAUGGAAUGGAUCAUAAUUGAUUUGGAAUGAAAUUAGAAAAUUCUGGAAAAUUGACCUUUAGCGAUGAAAAAUCUGAUGAACACCGUCGCUGAAAACCCUUUAGCAACGAAAAAUCUGAUGAACACCAUCGCUAAAAACCCUUUUGUGACGAAAAAGCUUCAUAUUUCUGGGUAGAUAGCAGCUAGUCUUCUUUGGGUUUUAGGCCACUUUUUUAGCUUCAAAUCUCCCUAAAACGUCAUGUAAAGCACUUGAGACCCCCAAAACAGUUUCAAAUCAUCAUAAUAACCAUUCUAAACAUGUUGGUGGCUUCAAAUUUGCCUGAAAAACAUCAGAAAGGAAAAUAGGCAAAAUUUUUGAUUUUGACCAAAAUAAGAACAUAAUAACCUAUUUUGCUAUUUUCUGGGUUUUAAAGUCAUCUAAUGGCCAAAACAACAUCUGUAACACAUCUGGAACAUGUUUGCAAUCAUCAUGGGGCUAGAAAAAAUCGAGAAAUAUUCUUUGAAACACAAAAUCCUUUCUUUGGAACACAAAAUCUGUUUUUUUUUUUUUUCUUUAUGACUCAAAACUCAAACAAAAAACAACUAAACUCCACACCCCCAAACCUAAACUAAGCAUUGUCCUCAAUGUUUAAAGUAAAUGCAUGUAACAAUUAGUAAAGGCAUAGAAGGAUGGAAAAUAAAGGGAAAACAAAACAAAAUAAAAUAAAAAGGAACGAAGGUACCUAGUUGGGUUGCCUCCCAACAAGCGCUUGGUUUAUAGUCCCCAGCCUGACUUGCGAGGUCAUCACUUUGGAUCAUGCAGAGGAAUGGAAGUCCGCUGUUGAUCAAAAUUGACUUCCAAGUAUGGCUUCACUCGUUGGCCGUUUACUUUGAAAAUAGUACCUUGUUCGUCAUGCCUAACCUCAAUAACUCCAGAAGGAAAUACUUGCACUAUUGUAAAUGGUCCAGACCAACGUGAUUUCAGCUUCCCGGGAAAGAGUCGGAGGCGGGAAUUAAAUAGGAGAACUGUCUGACCAGCGAAGAAAUCCUUCCUUAGAAUAUGCUUAUCAUGCCAUUUCUUUGUACGCUCCUUGUAUAUCUUGGAAGUCUCAUAAGCUUCAUUACGAAACUCAUCCAUAUCAUUCAAUUGAAUUGCCCGUUUUUCUCCUGCUGCAAUCAUGUCAAAAUUGAGUGUUUGGAGUGCCCAAUGUGCCUUAUGUUCGAGCUCAACCGGUAAGUGACAAGCUUUCCCAAAAACUAGACGAUAAGGAGACAUGCCAAUUGGUGUUUUGAACGCCGUUCGAUAGGCCCAUAAGGCAUCAUCCAAUUUCAGUGACCAAUCCUUUCUUGAAGCACUCACCGUCUUUUCCAAAAUUCGUUUUAAUUCUCUAUUGGAAACUUCAACUUGUCCACUAGUUUGUGGAUGAUAGGGAGUAGUAACCUUGUGGGUAAUACCAUAUUUAGCUAAAAGAGAAUUAAAUUGACGAUUGCAAAAGUGUGUACCUCCGUCACUGAUGAUUCCACGCGGAGUCCCGAAUCUGGUGAAAAUAUUUUUUCGGACAAAUUUGACAACACCCUUGGAGUCAUUGGUAGGGAGAGCGACGGCUUCAACCCAUUUCGACACAUAAUCAACAGCCACCAAUAUGUACUUGUUCUUCCAAGAUUCAGGGAAAGGUCCCAUGAAAUCUAUGCCCCAGACAUCGAACAAUUCAACCUCUAGAAUAUUAUUCAAUGGCAUCUGAUUUCUGCUAGAAAUAUUUCCAGUGCGUUGGCAGCGAUCACAGGCAGCUACAAAUGCAUAGGCAUCCUUGAACAAAGUUGGCCAAAAAAAUCCAGAUUGUAAUACCUUGGCUGCUGUUUUGGAGGCACCAAAAUGCCCCCCACACGCCAAUGUGUGGCAAUGUCGCAAUAUGUCUUCCAUCUCCUCCUCAGGCACACAUCUCCGUAUAACUUGGUCAGGGCAAUGUUUCCACAAAUAUGGGUCGUCCCAAUAAUAAUGUUUAACCAAGGAGAAAAACUUCUUCUUCUGAUGAAACGAUAAAUCAGCUGGAAUGAUAGUACUAGCUAAAUAAUUCACAAAGUCAGUUUACCAGGGAGCUUCGGAUGAUCGAAUGGCAUACAAUUGUUCAUCCGGGAACAUCUCCAUAAUGGGUGCAGCAUCAUCACUCAUCUUUACAUCACUGACCAGCCGCGAAAGAUGGUCAGCUACUACGUUUUCGAACCCCUUUUUGUCUCGAAUUUCAAGAUCAAAUUCUUGGAGCAGUAGUACCCAGCGAAUUAAUCGUGGUUUUGCAUCCUUCUUCGAAAGUAAAUACUUUAAAGCUGAGUGAUCGGUAUACACUAUCACCUUUGCUCCAAUCAAGUAGGAUUGAAAUUUAUCCAAGGAGAAGAUUACUGCUAACAAUUCUUUCUCCGUGGUGGUAUAAUUCCGCUGGGCGUCAUUUAAAGUACGACUGGCAUAAUAAAUUACAUGAAGUAAUUUAUUUCUUCUUUGACCCAAAACUGCCCCUACCGCAUAGUCACUAGCAUCACACAUAAUCUCAAAAGGCAAGUCCCAAUCCGGUGCGACAAUGACAGGUGCAGAAGUAAGCUUCUCUUUCAAGAUAUUAAAUGCUUCCAAACACCUUGAAUCAAAAUUAAAUUCUACAUCUUUAAGAAGGAGAUUGCAUAAGGGCUUCGUGAUUUUGGAAAAAUCUUGGAUAAACCGACGAUAAAAUCCAGCAUGACCCAGAAAGCUUCGAAUCCCCUUACUGAAGUGGGCGGUGGCAAUUUUUCUAUGGUAUCAAUUUUUGCCUUAUCAACCUCUAUGCCUUUAGCUGAAAUUUUAUGCCCCAGGACUAUCCCUUCUUGCACCAUAAAAUGACAUUUCUCCCAAUUCAAAACCAAAUUGGUUUCUUCACAUCUUUUCAAAACUAAUGCCAAAUUAUGUAAACAAGAAUCAAAUGAUGAGCCAAAAACAGAAAAGUCAUCCAUAAAAACCUCAAUGAAGCGCUCCACCAUGUCCGAAAAGAUGCUCAUCAUGCAACGUUGAAAGGUGGCAGGGGCGUUACACAACCCGAAGGGCAUGCGCCUGUAUGCAAAAGUGCCGAAUGGGCAUGUGAAUGUCGUCUUUUCCUGAUCUUCAGGUGCAAUUGGAAUCUGAUUAUACCCAGAAUAUCCAUCUAAAAAACAAUAAUAUGAAUGCCCAGCAAGUCUUUCCAACAUCUGAUCAAUGAAAGGCAAGGGAAAGUGAUCUUUCCUUGUCGCAGUGUUCAAUUUCCUGUAGUCUAUGCAGACACGCCAUCCUGUAGUUGUUCUUGUCGGGAUCAACUCAUUCUUAUCAUUUUUCACCACUGUAAUACCCCCUUUUUUCGGUACGACUUGAACUGGACUCACCCAACUACUAUCUGAAAUCGGGUAAAUUAUUCCAGCAUCUAAUAACUUUAAUACUUCAGCUCGCACAACUUCUUUCAUAUUCGGAUUUAAUCGGCGCUGAUGCUCAACUGAAGGUUUAAAAUUAUCUUCCAUCAGAAUACGGUGCAUACACAUGGAAGGGCUAAGUCCCUUAAUAUCUGCAAUAGUCCACCCUAUUGCCGUUUUAUGCUCCCUCAAAACUCGUAGUAAUUUCUCUUCUUCUAGUUUACUCAAAUUUGCAGCAAUAAUCACAGGAAGAGUUUCAAAAUUACCCAAGUAUGCAUAUCUUAAGUGGGAAGGUAGGGGCUUCAAUGUGAGGGUUGGUGCAGUAAUGACACUGGGUUGUGGCUUGGAGGUUGUGACGCCAAGCUCCUCAAAUUCGCGCCACCUUCUAGGAGGGCGCGGUUUCAUUGCUUCCAAAAUGUACACCAUCUCAGAAAUUUUAGGAUCCUCAUGCUCAGUAGUAAAGGAAUGCACAAGGCAAGCCUCCAAUGGAUCACAUGGAUGUUCUUCUUUAAAUUUUUCAGAGACAACUUUUUCCACUAUAUCCACUCGGAAGCAAGAGUCUGAUUCCACUGGGUACUUUGUUGCUUUAAAGACAUUGAAGGUCACCUGCUCAUCAGCCACUCGCAAAAUUAAUAAACCUUUGUCCAAAUCAAUUAAUGUCUUCCCGAUUUUUAGAAAGAGGCGGCCUAAGAUAAUAGGGGUUUCGGCAUCUUCUUCCAUGUCUAAAGUCAAAAAAUCUGCUAGAAAAAUGAGCUUAUCAACUUUGACUAACACAUCCUCAAUUAUGCCUCUGGGAUAUGUUAUGGACCUGUCCGCCAUCUGCAAAGAAACAGUGGUUGGGUUAAUUACCCCCAACCCAAUAUGUUUAGCAAUAGAAGAAGGCAUUAGAUUAAUACUGGAUCCUAAAUCACAUAAAGCUUUUUCAAAGUAAGUGGUUCCAAUAGUGCAAGGUAUAGUAAAACUCCCUGGAUCCUUUAGCUUAGGUGGUAGCUUCCUCUGCAAAAUAGCACUGCAUUCUUCGGAUAAUUUCACUAUCUCAUGUUCGCCCAAUUUCCUCUUCUUUGAUAUAAUAUCCUUCAUGAAUUUGGCAUAACUCGGCAUUUGCUCCAAAGCAUCGGCAAAAGGAAUAUUGAUUUGUAAUUUCUUGAAGAUAUCAAGAAAUUUCGAAAAUUGGACAUCCACUUUGUUUUUUCGAAGACGUUGAGGGAACGGAAUUGGCGGUACAUAUGGCUUUACAGGGGCAGCAGGUUGAGAUAAUUUCUCUACAGUAGCAGGUUCAAUUUCUUGAGAAAUUUCAUCAAGUUGUGCAGCAGUUCCAGCAGUGAUAGACGACGACGACGGCACGUUAGUAAUUUCUGAUGUCUCUGCAGUUUGUUGCUGGAUAUUCUUGUCUUCAUCCAAGUCUACUGCUGUUUUUAUUGGCCUCCCAUUCCGAAGAGUUAUCGCCUUCGCAUGUUCUUGGUUUUUCGGAUUAAUCUCUGUUUGGCUUGGCAAAGCUCCAUUUACUCUUCCUGUCAAUACAUUAGCUAGCUGGCCCAUCUGAACCUCCAAGUUUCGAAUAGAGGAAGCUUGGUUCUGAAGGGUCGUCUCGGUUUUGCUCAUAAAUUGAUUUGGAUUGACAGAGAGAGUGUUGACAUUUCCAGCAAGUUGAGUAAUUAUAUCCUCUAAUCCAUGCUUCUUUUCUUGAGGUGUGAAACCAGGUGGAGGUCCCUGUACAUUUUGGUUAUUACUCCAUGAAAAAUUCGGAUGGUUCUUCCAUCCUGGGUUAUAAGUGUUGGAGUAAGGAUUAUUCCGUUGUCGAUGAAAAUCAGAGACUUGGUUCACUUGUUCCGAUGGUGAUGUGAAUGGACUAGCUCCACACUCAUUGCCAUGAUGAGGUCCUGCACAAAAUUCACAACUUAAAUUAGUAGACUGAAUAGCAUUAACAUUUAAAGUACCAAGUUGUUUAGACAUAGUAGAAAUUUGCGCAGUUAACGCAGAUAUGGCGUCAAUCUCAUGAAUUCCAGCUUUCUUUGGUGUUGAUCUCUCACUAGGCCAUUGAUAGUUAUUUGACGCCAUCUCUUCCAGCAAGUUAUAUGCUUCAGUUUCUGUUUUUCCCAUCAAAGCUCCUCCGGCUGCAGCAUCAAUUGUUGUUUUGCUUGUAUUGUUCAAACCAUUGUAGAACGCUUGAACUUGCAUCCAAGUAGGUAGGGCAUGAUGUGGGCACUUCCUUAGCAUAUCCUUGUAUCUGUCCCAUGCUUCAUAAAAAGGUUCCAUGUCAUUCUGAGCAAAUGACAUGAUGUCAUUCCUGAGUUUCGCAGUCUUUGCAGGAGGAAAGAAUUUAGCUAAAAAUUUCUUGGCCAAGUCGUCCCAUGUAGUAAUCGAAUUAGGUGGUUGAGAAUUCAACCAUGACUUUGCCUUUUCCUUUAAUGAGAAAGGAAAAAGCCUUAAGCGAACAACAUCAUUGGUAGCUCCAUUGCACUUAAAUGUGUCACAUAUCUCCAAGAAAUUAGAGAUAUGGCUAUUAGGGUCUUCUUGAGGUAAACCACAAAAGAUGGAGGAUUGCUGAAUCAUUGAAAUUAUGGCUGGUCUGAUUUCAAAAUUAUUGGCAUCAAUGGUUGGACGACGAAUGCUCGAUGGUGAUGCCACCACAGAUGGGACAUCAUAGUCCCUUACUGGUUUUGCUUCCUCAGCCAUAGGUGAUGGCUUUUCCAAUAUUGCGUCCUUCCCCCUUUUGAGUUUGUUAAGCUUGUGAAGCGUUCGCUCGAUCUCUGGAUCUAAUGGUACAAGCACAAGACUCUGCGAACGUCUCCCAAAACUCAUGCACUAGGUGAAGUACCUAAAAAAACAAAAAAAAUUCAAAUUAAAAUCCAAAUCAAUCUAUAUCGAUAUUAAUAAAAUUUAAAACACUCCCCGGCAGCGGCGCCAAAAACUUGUUGUGAUAUUUAUUGCAAGCGCACAAUUCGCACAAGUAAUAUAGUGAUGAGUGAAGUGUCGUUCCCACGAAGAGUGAUUUAAUUUACCAAGUACCGAUUGUGAUUAACCCAAGACUUUAUUUGAACAAUUGAUGAUGAGAUUUGAUUGAUUAAUUAACUAAAACAAUGAAUAAAAACAAGCGUAGAAAAAUAAAGUAGUGAGAUUCAAGUUAUGAGAGCACUAGAGCUUCCGAUUUCACCAUAGCCAAUUCUACCCAAUUCCCUUAGCAUGUUAAUCCUAAUUAUUCUCUAUGUUGACAGUUGAUUUUCCCUACUUUAUUUGAUACUCCAUCCCUGGUUAUACCAAAAGUAUUCUUAUUACCAACCCACUCUAUCCCUAGUAAUGGAAUUAAGAUAAUAAGAACCCAUUAAAUUCCUUGGAAAACCUACAAAACAACCACAUAAGUCAUGACAAACAUCCCUGUCUAAUCAUGUAACUCAUGGUAUCUAUUACAAGAAGCAACCCCAAAUUGGAUAUUCCUAUCGUCAAUUUAGCAUCAAAACAAUUAAAUGUUGGCCAAACAUUCAAUGCAUUAAGCAUGGUAAUAGAUACUCAACAUGGAAAAAUAUUUGGAAUUAACAUUGACUAAAGUAAUUGAAUAUUCAUGGCUAGGCUACAUCGUAGCCCUAGCAAGAAGAAAUUAGUUCAUGACAACUUUAAUAAAAACCAUGAUAAAUAAUAUCAUAGGAAAGAAGUAACCAAUUGAAGAUUUGAUCUCUGCACGACAGCAACUCUAGCUCCAGGUUGUCUUCUUUGUCUCUCUAAAACUCUCUCUCUCUCUCUCUCUCCUUUGAGUGUUUCGGCGAUGAGUAUGAAUGUGUAGGGAUUUUAGGGUAGAUGAUGGAGGAUGGAGGAUGGAUGAUGGGUAAUGGAUCCCUUCAACAAUGACCUAAACUCCCUAUUUAUAAACCUCCUAGAAAUCCUACCUAAGGAAUAAUUACAAUUGUUAUAAAAAUAGGAUUCCUUCUAAAAUAAAGUCUUCUUUAUUUCUCCUUGUUUGACUUGAUAAGACUUGCACCAUCUUGAACUAGGAAAUUUGACAACAUUCCUUGCAACAAAAGGAAUGACUUGGCUUCUUUUUAGUUGAUCUUCAUCUACUUGCCUUUCUUUUAGCACACUUUCUCCUAUUUCACAAUUCCUUCACAAAUCUCACAAAACCAAUUAAAAACAACCAAUUUAAACCAAGAAAUUAAUAAAUAAAUAAGCAAAGGGGGCAUAAAAUAUAUAUAAAAUAUAGACUUAUCACUUGUAACCAAUAACCAUAAGAAGUACAAAUUUGUUGGGUAUAAAAUAAUGAAAAAAAACUAAAAGAACUUAAGACAAACAAAUAGAACACCACUGCAACUGUUCACCGUCCCGUGGUGUUGUGGUUUCCCCUUUUUUUUUUUCACUUUUUUUUUUUAUAAAAAAAAUUAAUGUAAUACUGAAAAUUUAUAAUGAACAAAUUUGUAUAUAUAUAUUUUUUAAUAAAAGAAACACUGUUUUAUUAUUAUUAUUAUUAUUUUGGGAUGAAAGAAACAUUAGUUGUAGACUUGUAAACUGGUCGAAUUCGGAUAAGAUAUCCCUCGAUCCAAAUCUGAAUUCAUUUAUAAUCGGAUUAUCAAAUUCGGAUCGUAUUUGAACUAUCGAAUUGCACCUAUCAAUCCAUAUCCGUUAUGCAUCGAAUUCGGAUCGGAUCAGAUUAUUAUCUGAUUUAUUUUGUGAUGUAUAAAAAAUUAAAAUUUCAUUAGUAGCCUCGUUCUUUUAUCGUAUUUUUCUACUUUUUAUAUCAAUUUUUGGUAUUUGACCAUAAAAAUUAGUUGUAAGUGUAUUAUUAGUGCAUAUAAAAUUAAAAUUACUCAUUUAUAUAUAUAAAAUAUUAAUAUAAAGUCUAGAAAAACUAAAUUAUACUAAUAAUAAGUCAAAUCAAAUUAUUAUCGGAUCAGAUUAAUUAUAAUCCAUAUCCAGAUCCAUUUCAGAAAAUUCGGAGAAUUUGGCUACUCCCUCAUUGUUAAACUAAUUAAUUUUAUUUGUUCAAUAUUUCAUAUAUGAAAUCUUUCUUUUUGAAAUUAUAGUCAAGAAUCUCAUGUGCGCAUUUGUUUUGUUGGUCAUAGGUCAAAAUCAAAUAAAUUUAUAUAUAGUUGUUACACAUUUCAGGGCAAUAAAUUCAUGCAUGAACAAAUAGUAAUUUGGUAUGCAUCAUUUCAUUACUGCUAAUGUAAACUUGUCAAGUCCAUAGUUCUACUUCUCCAAUAAGUUCUACUUCUUCUGAGACUGAUGUUUUGUUUGGUAUCUCUGACACAUACCUAUGAAAUUUUUGGCUCCUUUUAAUUUUAGGGAGAUUCAUUGUGAUACCUAUAUAAAUUAUAAUAUAUAUAAUGGACUUUAGAAACACGUUCAAAACUCAUUUACAACAUAACAAAUAGGCUUUUAACUUCUUAUAAAUUACAAAACUGCCAUCAAUUUCUUAAAACAACCACAACCCCAAAACCUUAUAAAAAUACCCAAAACACUCAAUAGGGCAUCAAAGUAAUUUAAUAAUUAAAAUGAAAUUCAAUAGAGCUAGUUGUCAUUUUUUGAAUUUGUUUAUAGAAAUUAAAUGGUGUAUGGUUUAUUUAUAUUAUUAGUACUAAGAAUAGGUAUAUGACUAAAUUUUCUCUUAAUUUAAUUCCUCUGUUUUGAAUCUACCUCUUUUGGUCUUUCCCAACAAACUAGAUUGUUAAUUAAUAUGGUAAUAUUGUUUAAAACAUCUAAUAUAUGUACAGACAAAGAUAGUUUACAGUUAUAUAAUUUUAAUUUUUUUUAAGAAAAAAAUGAUUAUAAUUAAUAGGUUUUUUUUUUGGGCAGAUGAAGCAAACAAAGUUUGGUGGUGAUCCACAGAUGAAAAAAGGAUUGAAUUGCUGUUGCUUGUUUGUUGCUUUGCCUGACACGUUUCCUUCCUUUUUGACUAUUUGCAAUUUUUUUUAUAGCUAAUUGUUUAUCUACAUAUAUAUAGGGUAAUUUAUUCACGUAAAAUAAUUUAAUGGUUAGUGGUAUAAUUAUUGCACCUUAAUUGACAUAAGCCGAAAGUUUUUGUACAGUCUUAAGAUAUUAUUUUCUAAGAUAUCUCAGGUUUUAGUUACUUUUUUGUUCUCCCACGACAUUGAUUCCAUCUAUUGCCUUACACAUGCAUAUGAUAAUAUGUGACACAUAUAAGCAUAUAUGCAUAAUUUUGGAAUUUAUUUACUUCUAUGUUUUCUUUCAUUUUGAUAUGGACUUUGUUUCCCUCGUUCCCUUGAAAGAGGUAUUCCUACUUCUUGCAAAUCACAGUAUUAUACAUAUGCAAAAAUAAUUCAAAAAAACAUAAAACGAAUCUCUACACACAUCAAGCUAUGAUUAACAAAAAAUAGGAAUUCCCACUUUCAAAAAAAGAGGCAAGUAUUUUCCUUUUAGCAUUAAUGCAAAACCCAGUGGGAAUGAUGAUGCACUUGCAUAUAGCUGCAAGUCGUUACUAAAUGCGGCAGUAGAACCCACUCAAACUAGACCAAUUUUUAACGUUAGGUCAACUAGUGGCCACUAUUCAAUUAGCCACCUGAACAAAUUGAGUGGGGCGGUAAUUACAUUGUGUGCGCACUUUUUUGAAAAAAGAACACACCUUUUGGAUUAUAAGUUCUUUUUUAAGGGAUUUGUCAACCAGUUUUAAAUAGCUCCGUGUUUUUUCCAAUUAUGCACCAACACAAGCAAUAGCAUUGGUGCAAAGUGUAUCUCAAAUUUAUCGCAAUGCAAAUAGGGGAUUGGUCAAAACAAGCCAAACAUAUUUUUUGUUGGGAAACCAAUAAGUGACGAAGCACAGUCCCAUUCUUUAGUGAGCUUUGUGUGAGUGUCUGUCUAGGUCUGCUCAGCAUCACUUUCUCUUGAUAAAAUACGAGAAUGACAUAAACCCUCAAAUCCCCUCUCCAUACCGAGCUUCAAUACUCUAUUUGAGCUUAAGAGAUCAUCCUCUCUCACAAUACUCUCAGACAACAAUCACCUGAAAAAAGUUCAGGCAACCUUUUUCUUUCAAGCUUCAAAACCCUGCAACUCAAAACCCACGACUCACGGCUGACAGAAACUUCAUCUUUAAAUUCCUAAUCCUCUCAAGAAUACUCUGGCACCUAUGCUGAAGCUUAUUCCCCAUCCAGCCAUCCCGUCACAACCUCGUUUUGAUCUAUCCCUUCUCUAGAAUACCCUAGUCCACAAUUUCAUUGCUCCACUUUUCCUAUGCAUUUCAAUGAUUUCGUUGUUAUCAAGAACAAAAGCAAUAUUGAGAGAGAGAGAGAAGAAGAAGAAGAAGAAGAAGGAUAAUAAUAAUUGAAUACAUUGCCUUUUUUUAAGUAAUGCAUUGUCAUUAUCUUAUACAUUUUCAGUAACCAAUACAAUCUUUCCCUUUUUUAUCUACACUCUAGGUGCGUUGCUAAUAUGCAAUUCUAACUGCAGCCAGAUAAAAUGGCAUUCUUUUCUAUCUACACAAUUAAGAGCAAGUCAAAGAUGUUGCCAGAGCUGAGAAUACUCAAAUUUAUCCAAAAAAUAUUGUGUUUUCUCCUUAAACCAGACCGUAUAUACCUUGGUCAUAAGACGAUUGAAUAGACGCAUGAGCUGAUUAUGGCUAAACCUCCUCCUACAAAAUGUACAAUAUGCAAAACCUUUCGACAUAAGGGAAAUCAUUUAACAUGUCUAACUACAGAUAUAAGACUUUAAGUCAUCACAUUAUUGCAUGAACAAAGGACUUACCUGGACUAUUCCACCAAAGCCUCGAGUGCUUGGUUGCAAAAAUGUGUGCCUUUCAUGCAAUUUCGGCCAGUGAUAUACCAACUUAGCUCUCUUGGCGUCCCAAAGCUUAACAUCUCCAUCUUUGCUUCCUGUUAAGAACAAACUGGUAUUUUGGGAUUAUAGAUUUCUUGGUGACUCUCCCUUCAUUCAGAUUAAUUCAUCAAAAGGUUAAAUGAUAAUUGGACAAAGAACUGAUAUUUCAGAGUUAAUCUUGCAUGAAAAUUUGUCAGGUUAUACCUGAGUGAGCCUUUGGUAUAUACCAAAGCAUUCCAUUUUGAUUUUGUUCCCCAAGCUUGGUAGCAUUCCCAGGAUGCAUAUCAAAAUUCAAUGAUGUCUUCAUGACUUGUUCACCUAUAUCAGAAUGCCUGUGCCUUUUACUCCUUCUAGUAGCAAUGUACCAGAAAUCAUGAAGUCCAACAUCACCACCUUUUCCGCCAGUCACAAUAAGGGGGAAGAUAGAGCCACUACAAAAAGGACAAGGCAUAUACAAGAUGAAGAAAAAUUAUUAACUGAACCGAAAAAAUUAAUAACUACGGCUGAAAAAGCAAUUCAUGACAGAGGAUAGAAGCCCGUGAGGUGGUAGGUGGAGCCAAUGUAUCCCAUAUAACCACAUUAACAUUACUGGAGCUAUAUCCAGCAACAGCAAUGAUUGAGCCACUUGAACUAACAUAAGCAACAUUGCUGCAAAUGAAAUUACAGUUGGAAACAAUAAGAAAUUUCCCGAUUGAAAUUGAGUGUUAACAACCACAGUUCCACAACAUAAUCACUCACAUCCAGUCAAACAAUUCAAGACAGCCAAAAAAUGAUGCACAUUAAUAAAGCAAACAUGAUGCAAAAGGUUACCCAAUAGUAUAUCAGGGUCAAUAGACAAUACGAAUGGUCAUUUGUUAUGGAUCACAAUCCACCUAAGCAGCUAAAGUUUACAUUGACAACUAACUGUUGAAGUUAAACAACAGGAAGUUAGGAACUACAGGACUAGGGUAUUAUUCCAAUAAUUUCAGGUUUCUGAGUAAUUUCAUUUUAUCAUAAAGAGGGAAGUAGCCAUCCCAUAAAGGAAAAAGCUUGGAGCAAAUAUUACAGUCACUUCAUCUUGAAGGAUUUAUCUAUAGCCACAUAUUGAAGCAAUGCUCAAAUUAAUUCCUGACACUACACUUUAUUAACAAACAUAUUUAAGAACUUAAUAAUUGGAAUUGUGAGUUAGAAUUUUAAAAAUCAUAUCACACAUACGAUGCAUGGCUGUUAAGGCAGAGAGAUUUCAGUAUGAGAAGGUACAGGUUGCAUUUCAUUUGAGCUCCUCUUCGACUUGUGCUUCGAUUUCUUAUCCCACUUCGUACUUCUGGAAACCAGUCAAAGUUUGGCAUUAAUACAAAACAAAAGGGCACCAGAUUAAACGUGACUAUUUCUAGAUAAGGAAUAGCAUACUCGUCAUGUGAACUAAGACCCCAACAAGAUUUCAGUUUUCGGUUGAUGUGCUUGAGAUCCUUGUCUGAAGGAAACUUGUAUUUUCUUGCCUGCAUAUACAUUAGCCAGGAAGAAAAGAAGAUGGGAAAAUGAAACCAAAAGGUUAUCAGAUUAAAUUUUUCGAAAUCCUGAACUUAAUCAUCUAGCUUUAUUAUAUAUAAUUUUCACAAAUGUUUGUGCUGCUAAAGCAGAGUCAAUGAAGUUUGCACCACACUUGUAUGUAGAUUGCAACGAAUUUAUACCCAAGAAUCUAUUGCAUUAAGUAAUUCAACUAGCUCUGAAACGGUAUGUUCAGAACUCUGACGAGAGGGAGUGCUCCUCAGAUAUCUGAAAAUGAGCAUACAUGAAAGAAGGUUUAUUAGUAUCGUCCAACAACAAACCCCCCCUCCCCAUCCCAACAAUUUAAUUUCAAAUGUAAUCAAUUCUAAUUGAGCAGCCAAUAGGGAAGUUGAGGGGAAGGCAGAAAUAGAACUGUACAGGAAAAAGAAAAAUAAAACUAUUAAUAAAAACUAUAGGAAACCUAAAGUUCAAAUCAGAACCUCUCAAAGUCAACAACUUUGUGCACCUGAUUUGCACUACGCAAAGCAGCCAAUGCCAACUGCAUCAAAUGAAGAUGGGCAAGUUAAAGAUGAUGUAUAAAUUAUCCAUGAGAGAGAGAGAGAGAGAGAGAGAGAGAGAGAGAGAUCAAAAAGUUGAACCACGAUCCAAAUUCCAAACUCUACCUAGCAUGGUGAACUUCAGUAAAGGCCAUAUUAUUUUUCUUAGCUUUUGGUUGGGCUCUAUCUCACUGUAUAUGAAAUGACCAACUUCUCUUCCAACUCAUAAAAUUCAUUAAAUCUGCUCCUAUAACCCUAGCACUCUCCGACCAAAUCCUAAUACUCAAACCUAAAAUGGGUGAAGCAUUUCGAUUCGUUUGCAAAACUUUCUAAUUGAGUUGCAAAACUUAUCUUCGAUAUUUAAAAUUAAUGACCAAAUUCUGAGCUUGAACAGCUAGAAGCUUGAAUGGCAAAUCGUACCUGCUCAGGAGGGAAUAGAAGUGGUGCAUCUGUGAGCAUGAUUUUAUCCACUUCCAUCUUUGCAGCAUACAAAACAUUCCAUGAAAAAAAAUAUUUAGCUGGUUAAGCAAAAGCCAGAUUACCGUCAUCAAAAGAACUACAUUCCACUAAAUGGGAAAUUCUUAAUUUUCACCCAUUAUAUUGCACCCCAAGGAAAAACGUUACAUCUGCCACAAAGCUGAUUAGUGAUAUUUGGCUCAUGUGCAGGGGAGUGGGACUUUCGGAGUUUUUCCUUUAACAGAAGUGAACUGACAUAGUACUACCAAUCUAAAAAAAUUCCUUGGAAAUUUUGUUUUUUUCUUUCUGUUAUUUACAUAAUUGACACAAGAACCAACAACCAAAUGAAACAGAAUUAUUCAUUUAAUUAAAAGACUUCCUUACUGAAUUACUUAUAGUUUAAAUUUAUUAAAUUGUGCAGAAAGAUACAUUGGUCAUGACUGGCUAUUGGUUAUUUAAAAUGAUUGCAGCAAGUUAACAAAGAAAGACUCUUAAAGAUUCAGUCGAACAGAUGCCAUGUAACAGAAAAGAAACUGAACACACUAUUCAGCUAUAUGCAAUUAAAAUAACAGAGCAAGCAGGAACAAAAUGGUUGAGAGUUCCAAGAAAAUAUGACUAAAGAAUAGCAUCUUGAUAGGCUUAUUCUGUUUAUCAUGAAAAAUGGAAUGCCUUUAAAGUAUUAAAAAAGAGACUGCUAGUUUUGCAUUUUCUCUCCUUUUAAAGUUUUUUUCUGUUCUUUCAUGAUCUGUUAUAUUCAAUUGAGAUAUAUUAUCCAAAGAAAAGGGAGCUUACUAGUACCUUGACGAGAUUUUAAAUGAAGAUUUGACUAGCGAAAAGUACAAUUUUAAGAUAACAACGAAUACAAAAUAAAGAUCAUUAUAUUGCAUUCUCCUCUUGAAAACUACUCAAGGACUGCAUAGAUUCAAUCGAAUAUCAAGUUUUGCACUCUCUAGAUUUGAGGAACAGUUAGAGGAAUACUUAGGUUUCUUGUCUUGCAAAAAAUUUGGUUUGUGCAUUGGUAGUCCUACGAGUUAAGGAUAGAUUUUGGGUUUAUUUGUUCCUUCCAUCUCUUCCUGUAUUAUGUUUUCUUCUAUUAAUUCUCUAAAGCAACAUAAAAACUAAUGGCUAAACAUUUUAUUACACUAAAGAUGGCCACAUUUUGGAAAAAGACUUUCAUAACAUCUUUUAACUUCUUACUUACUCACUGGCUUAAGUCUCUUCCUCUGACACGUCUAAUGAAUGGAAAUUAUUAUCAAAUAAUUAAAAGACGACCAAUUCAGGGUAUGCACAUAAUCUUUCAUGAAUGGUUUCAAACCUGGGUUGAGUACCACAAUUACAAGGUAGGUCAGGUUUCUUGACUAAAAAAAAGGUAGUUCUGGUUUCAGCUAUAAGUAGGUUGCUAGACCAAAGUUCAUGAGAAUAUGCUGUCAGGCGGAAUAAAAUUACACUGAAAACCAAUAUCUAAGUAAGCUCAAGCAUGGUUCAAGUUUUGCUAAUUACCAAUGUUCGAAAUACUUGAGAGAGAGGGACCCGACCUGCCCAGGCGCCCAGACCCGCCUAACGCCUAGGCGGGCGAUUUUAAAUAUCUUAUGAAAACUAAUCAUAUCCAAGUAUAACAGUAAGCAUAACUGGCAAUUGAGAAAAGAGAUUGAAGAAGAAAACCUGUUCCUGAAGCAUUUUCCCACUCCUGCUUUCAAAUCCUAAGUUGUCUAAGAUUGUUUCAGCAGCUCAAGGAUAAAAGCUAUGGUUUUUUUUGUUGACGACAAGUUCGGUAAAUGUGGACUUACCUUUGUGAAGCAAUGUGAAGCUGAGAGAGGUACAGAGAGGGUAGUGGACACAAGGCACGCCAUUGAAGCUUUCAACUUUGAGUCUCUUUAUUCCUACUUCCUUUCUUGAGCUCGGUGUCCGUACGUAAACGACUCUCAACGGUGUCGUUCCUUUUAAAGUUUCGCCAUAACAUUUCCGGACUACAAUUAAUUUCCAAACCAAACCCGACCCAAAUGCGCAUCAAGCUCAUUCGGAGGCCCAUUCACAAGUAAAAGCCCCUAGUGAGUCUAUCCGACAGUCCUAAUCUGUGGGAUUGGUUUUGCUUGGAAAAACAAAAACCGUUGCAUUGAGGCUUUUGAAGACAAUCAUUGGCAGGAAAGGUGGUUUUGCUUCUUGGGUCUUCCUGUUGGUUGGUGGAAACUAAAUACAUGGCUGCAGGAAAGGUGAGGAAGGGAUUAUUGGUGCUGGUGGUUUAAUCAGAAUUGUCAAUGGGGACUGGGUUGGUGGAUUCUCUUCUAACAUUGUGGGCCACCCUCUAUGGCUUGCGGCUUGCUAACCAAUCCAACUAUUUUCCCCUUAUUGUGGAGUCCGAUUCCCGUUUGGCGGUAGAUCUUUUGAAUGCGCCUAGUUUUGAUCCUCUUCACCCGUUGUUCACUCUGAUCUCUAGCUUCUAUUGCUGGUAUGCUUGCUUCAUAUUUGGGAUGCUGCUCCUGCUGUUGUGCAUCAGUUAAUUUUUAAGGAUAUGUGUAGGGUUUGUUUACCCAGACUUAUCAUUGUUCCUUAUUAGUGUUUCUGUUGGGCGUUUUCCCUCCACUUUACCAACCAAAUAAAAUAAAAUAAAAUAAAAAAGCCUUUAAUUUAAUUUAAUUUUAUAUAUUUUAAUACAAGUGAUAUUUGUAACGACCCUUAAAAUUUAGAUAUUAAUAUGUAGUUGCGAUAUUGGAGGAGCGAUUUUCUCAAACACACUAUCAAAGCCAUUUCCACUAAACUAGACCCCGUUGUCAGUUUUUGUAAUAUCUAUAUUAUAUGUCACAUCAAUUAAAUCAAUGAAGUGUAUUUUAAUUAAGGCAAUUAGAAAAACAAAUAUUGAAAUAAAUCAUAAAAUAAAAGAAAAUAUCAAAUUAUUUUAAUUGAUGUGGUUGUCCACCUCAGCUACCACAUAAGAUGGUAUAAAGAUGUGGUAUACAAAUGUGGUAAGAGUAGCAUUAUUCUUUUUUAAAAAAAAGUAUAAUACGAAACAAAUUCACGUAGGAUGUAUGUAUACAUUUUUUUUAUUACUUAUUUUUCAUACACUUUUUAAAGAUAUGACAAAAAAUACGUUUUUAAAAAUCAAUAUAUUAUACACGUAUUAUAAACCUAUUUUUCACAUAUUAGUAAAUAAAAAUACUACACAUUAAAUUUUUUAUGUAAUCUAUAUGAAAAUACUUUACAAUAACCGAAUUUUUAACCGUAUUCUUUUAUAUAAAAAAAUUUGUCGAAUAAUAAAUGCACAUAUUUUAUUUGUGUUUUUCUGCUCCCUAUUUUACUAAAUGUGGCUUCUGAUAAGGAAAGUUUGUAUCUAGAAGUUAGUUUUUGUUUGAUUCACUCCCUGUUGUAGUUGGACUCAUUUGAGGACUUUGACUGGAAAAUUGAGCACCGAUGUGUGCUGUUUUGAAAAAUGCGUGCAAAAGCCAUCAACUUUGUAGAUUGGCGUUGUUAGUUAGGCAAGUGCAAUUUUCAAAUAUCAUCAUGGCCUAUUUGAAGCGAAAUGGACAUAACCUUGUAUAUUCCCUUUCCAAUACAUUACCAACAUGUAUGGCCUGGAAGCCAACCGGAGCUUUUUUUUUUAUAAAGUCCACAAGUUAGUUAACAUCAAGAAAAUUGGAUCCAAAUAAUACCACUAUUCUUGUCACUGGGUUCCUAGAUUCUAGGUUCGAGUCUCUUCUCCCCAAUAUCGUUUCAUUUCUGUUUCAAGAAUUAAAACUGAAAGUGAUGUGUGAUAAAUAAAAAAUAUGGAUCAAUCCCAAACAUUUAUUGUGUUUUAUAAAAAAAGGGCUUAAUUUACAAACCAAAACAAGUUAUCCAAAGGGAGAUUAAGGAGUCUUCAAACUGAUUACAUAUGACACAUUUAUAUGUUCAUGAAUAAGUAUCUAAAAUAUCUAACAGGAUUACAGGUCACCACCAAACAUUGGGUCAUGAUGCAUGGUGGAGAAUAGAUCAUCUUCAAGGCAAUGAACAUUGUUCAUGAGAAUGCCCAACAACUGAUCUCUGUGUUGUUGCAGCUCCAAGACUUGAGAUCUUAUUGAUUCCAAUUGGGAUCUGAGUUCUUCAAUCAUCUUCUGCAAAUGGAAAAUAGCUCCAGUGCUGCCAUAAACAGGGUCUCUGAGCCUUGCUCUUGCUUCAUAAACUAGAGCUUUCACUGCAUCUUCCCUUCUUGUCUCUUCCACCAUCUGAUUCCAAAAUACAAUUGCCAUAUCUUAGCUGAUGUUUAAUUAAUAAUAAUUCUAACAAAACUCUGUUCUAAGCAUAUUAAAGUACCACAGAAACUCACCUGAAUCAUUUUGAUCACAUUGCUAGCACCAAAAACUUUAUGCACACCAGCAAACUUCUCAAUCUCCUCCCCUGGGAAAUAUGGUGCAAGUGAGCAAUUUCUGUCACAUCUUCGGCGUAGCAUCCGGCAAGCUGCGCAUGGUUGAUGAACCCUAUUAUGCAUUGGUACUACUUGGGUGUCCAUGUUUUGUUAUUUCAAGGAUGGUUCAAAAGAAGCUCUCCAGUUUGUGUAUAUAUAUAUAAGAGAAGAGCAGCUAAAGUUUGCCAACAUGUUGAAAGGAAUAAUAGGUUGUUAGAUGGGGUGCCAAAAUUCAAAGGUUAAGUGCAAGGAAGGCGGCCACUAGAGGACAGUUUUGAGCUAUAAUAUGAGGGUUGAAAAUUGUGUGAAACCUCACUGUUGGGACAGUGGACCUAACAGUGAACCCCCAAUGUGGAUUUUUCAGAUCUUGCAGUUUUGGAGAUUCAGUCAGUUUCCAAUAAAACAAACCUCAUGUUUGGUGAUGUUCAACUUUUUGCUGAUCAGUUUGUCUUUUCAUUAAAUUCUGGAACCACACCAAAGACAGCACCAUGUGGUAGAAAAUUGUGUUGGCACUUACUUGGAGCAAGUUUGAUUACCAUUUUCCAAAGCUCAAUUUCCGUGGUGUUUUGGAGGCUUUUAUGACUUCUAUUGUGGUUUUUGGACUGCAGCUAGACUACAAGCACAUAUGAAAGUUCCGUGAGCUUUCGUACUUCACACGUGGUAAGCGUCCAAGCAAGGAUUUAUCUGUAACUUUGAGGCUUCUAUUUACGAGGAUACACGUGUAGCGUCACUCAAGCUAAUACAUUGACAACAUAUAUUAUUGGGUGAGGUAGAAGUAUGUGUGACCGUUAGAGGCCCAGAAUAAUUUAAAUUACUAAUGCAGGGCUUGUAUUUCUGAUGUGGGUUUGAUAUGAGGUUUAAAUUUCACAAUACAAUAUUUCCAGAGAGACGACCAGGAUACCAAGAACAGUAAGUGCAAACACAUGACAUAACCGAGAAAAGAGGUUAAAUUUCACACGAGAAGCAACUCCAGGAAACAAGUGAGUGACUAAACAAAGACAGCAAAGUGAAAACCAAGUGGAAAUUGAAAUAGCAUCCAUUGAUAUCUACAAAAUCUGCUAAAUAAAUAAAACUUGCAGCAGGGGAAAAAAGAGCCGGAGGGAGAGAGUCAUAUUCUUGGUCAAGUUUUGUGUCCAAAGCCAGCCCACCUCUUCACUCCUUCCUUCUUCGUCCUUUGGUGGGAGUUGGAACCAAGUAGAUUCUCAAGUGAUUUUCCUUUUCUGUUCCUAGCCCUUCCUGCUUCUUUCAAAAGAUCAGCCAGUCUUUUCUUCUCGUCGUCAAAAUCUGGAUGUGCCGUCCCAAGCUUCUCUUCCCUCACCUUUAGAAUGUGCUCUAGCAUCUCAAUUGCAGCUUCUACUCUGUAAUAAGUAACAGAAUUUCAUGCUCAAUGGAGGAAUUAAACUAAAGCAUUAUAGAACUUAAACAUCAAUAGUAAGACCCCCUAGAGCAGGAUUUAUCAUAGAAUCAAGAAUGAUUCAAUUAUAAUUUCUAGAUUGAAGAACCCUAGAGAAAGUUAACAUUUCAUUUCCAUUCAACAUAGCAGAAAGCACAAACAAAACCCUUACAGCUCACAUGAAUAUCAAAGAUCAGUUACCUUCCCAUGGCAUCAUAAGUUGCUGCAAGGUUGCUAUAUACUCCAAGAGUAUCCACGUGACAAAGGCCACACUCCUGCUCCAGAAUCUCCCUUGCUUCUUCAAAAAGCCGAGCAGCCUCAUCUAAUUUGUACAACUGCACACUAGCCAAUCCCAUCUGGUUCAGCACAAUACCAAAAUGUGCUGAUUUCCUCUCCCCGCUGGCCCGAAGCUUUGAUAUAGCACUCUUAAAGGACCUCCAGGCCUCCCCAUACCUCCCAACCAUAUAGAACAUAACACCCAUCUGCGCUUCUAUUCCCGCAAUAGUGCUCCGCUGUGCAGGGGUGUCCUCUAAUAACUUCAUUGCCUUCUGCAAGAGAUUUAGCGCCUCCUCAGGCUCAUUGACAGCUUCGUAGAUGGCUGAGAUUUCUGUCAACCCGCUAGCAAUUUCCUCAGAUAUGAUUCCAGGCAAAGGUUUCGCGUAUAUCCUCAAUGCGUUCUCGCAGUAGGAUUUGGACUCUCUUAGCUUGCCUGUCUUGUAAUACAAGUCAGCCAGGCGAAUAAAAACUGAUGCUACAGAAGGGUGGUUUUCACCCCUUGUGGAUUUGAGAACCGUAAGUGCUUUCUGGUAGGAAAAAACCGCCUCAUCAAAGCGGCAAAGAGACAAGUAAAUGUCACCAAUGCCCAUGUCGAUAGCGGCAACCUCAUUGUCUUGCCCAUUGGCAAUCAUAAUCAUGCUUGCAAGAACAAGGUGCUCGAGUGCCAAUUCAUAAUCUCCCUUUGCCUCAUAGAUGAGAGCCAUGAGACGCCGGUCAGCAGCCUCUUCGACAGACGCAGGUGAGCUAUGCUCCCUUCGAAUUUCAAGAGUCUUCUUGCAGUAGUUCUCUGCCUCAUCAAAUUGCAUUACUUGGACAUGGGCCUCUGCUAGGUACCUGCCAUUCAUUUCCAAUGCCAUUUCACACACAAUGCAAUGCAGUUAUGUUAGUGUUUCCAGCACCCUUCUAUAAUUUUUCGGGUAUUUUCACUCGUUUUAUUUCACCAAAAUAUUUUUGAAGCCUCAAUGAUGAAAGAAUGAAAUGCGGUUACUUUGAAAAUACAUGAGAAAUUACAAAUGACUUGUUACAUAAUCAAAAUUUGUAACUAAUCAAGUGUGCUCAAAAUCCGCCAUUGUUUUCAACAAACCUCAUCAACCAAAUCAAUUUUUAAUUAGUAUUAUUAAAUUAACAAUUUUAGCUAAUUAUUUUUAAAUUAACAUUUUUUAGCUAAUUAUUUUGAAAUUAACAUUGAGAAACACGAAGGUGUGAAGACUAUAUGCAACCCACAUCCCGAUGCAACAACUAAAUCCACCCAAACCCAAAUAAUCAGAGAAACAUGUGGGCCCAACAUUACUACCAGUCUAUCAUUUUUCCUACCCAAAAAAAGGCGCAUUUUAGCAUUAAAAUGAGCCUAUUGAGCUGAGAAAAUAGAGCUCAUACCUGCAAGUCUCUGCAACUCUCGGAUCCGACCCGCCCAGAGUCUCCCUUUGGAUCUUCAAACCCGACUCGUAACAUAAAAUGGACUGCUCAAGCUGUCCCAGCAUCGAACACGUGUCACCCAGCUGCAUGUACCCUGAGAACUUAGCCAGCGCAUGGUCCGGCCCGUUUUCCGGAUCCGAGACUUCAAUUGCCCGCUCCAAAACCCGAACAGCCUCCUCAAACCUGCCCAAACUACAGUAUAUCGCCGCCACAACGUGCAAGCUCAUAGCGAGGUCCAGACCCGGACCCGAACACCUCUCGAAUGAUUUGGAAGCCCGAAUGGCGUAGUCCAACGCCUUGUUUGGGCUCUCGCCCGACCCGAAAGUAUCCCGGGCGAGCUUUAACAAGAACGGACCUAGAUCCGGGUUGUCGAGCGAAGUCUCAUCGACGGGUUGGGUUUUUCUGGAGGCUUUCGUUCGUGAGGUGGAAGGUGACGGGGUUUUGGUACCAUUGAAGUGCUGUAUUUUAGGGGUCGGGUCGGGCACGAAAAUGGUCUGGGAUGGUGUUUUGGGUGAGGCUAAGGCUGGCAUGACUGAGAAGUCAGAUACCCAGAAUUCAAGCUAAAAUUCGAUAUAAUAUAAAAAACUCACAACAGAAUUGGCAAAACGGAACCAAAUACCCGCGCAAUUUAACAAAUGUGGUGAGAAAUCAGCGACGGCAAUGACCAAUUUAAUUUGGGUUUUCUGCUAUAUUUUGCAGAGAAGCUCAUGAUAAAGGUGCAGUGUUGCAGAGAGAGAGAGAGAGAGAGAGAGAGUAAUGAGAGAGUGAGAAUGUGUGUGUCGGGUAGAGGAGGGAAGUAAUGGUGGUGGUGGUGGGGAUGGAGGGUUGCGUGGAAGAGACUCGUAAUGAUGAAGGAAUUGUGCUUUAACUUGAUGACAAGCUUCAACACGAAAAAGGGGACCAGCAGAGAUACGAAAUCCAUUUUUCAGUAUUUUUCUUCUUUUCCACUGCCUUACACGCUGUCCUUCUUUGCUUUGCUUCGCCUGUAAUGUUCCCUCUACAGACUGGGGAAAGAAAGAGUUGAAGGCUGGAAAAACUGAUUUGGUUGCUUUGUUGUUUUUAUAAAGGUCAAAAGUUACAAAUGCUACUUGGUGGUGUGCCACAUCUGUAAACGAAUCUUAUUUUCACCUAUUGAAUUGUGUUUCUAAGUUUUUUUAAAAUAAUUUCUGUAAGUAUUAUUUUGUAGUGUUUUCGGUUGAAUUAACUUAAAAUUAAGCAUACUUUCAAGUUUCGGUUCCAACCUGCAAUAUACCCCGUAUAUAUUGAUUUAUAAUUUAUUGAACUCAAAAUCUGCUCAUUAUUAAGCCUUCUCAAACCAAUCCUACCAUCUUAUAAUUAGAUUAGACGAUUUAGUCGAAUUGACUCAAAAUUGUACCCAUCUUUAAAAAUAACAAUUGUUACAAUUCAAUUAUUGAAAUUGUAUGAUAAUAAAAAAAACAAUUCCGAUCUCUUGGACUCGACCACAGGAGUCCAAGAAAUUGUGGUCACCAACCGUUGGAUAUGAAUCUAAUAAUUCAAAAAAGUUUCUUAAAAAAAGUGUAAGAGUGAGUGAGCCGUUGAAUUUACAUCUAACGGUGAGUAACUAUAAAUCUUUUGAAUUACUGUAAUCCAAAAGAUCAGGACUGUUAAAAUAUAAACAUGUGAUAUAACCCGUCAACUUAUUAUAAUACGAGUGAAGGGCAAAAGUUUGUAUUUCUCAUUUUUACGACACAAAGAUGAGCGACCAACGAAUAAGUUGCUUGCGUGGCAUGGCUCCUUUAUGUGAUGAAGAAUUCAAUGUGGUGUGCAAUUUUCCGAAAAGUGUGAGCGUCCACAAGGAGAGCACAUGACCCACAUGUGAGGGUUGACAGGGAGCUGCUAGAAUGUGGAGGUUAAUAUGCAGGGCUUAUUUGCAGGAUGUUACCAACCGUUCAAUUAAAAUGAACGGUUCAGUUUCAAAAUUGUAGUUUUAUUACAACUGGGUUUAAAUUACCCAUAAGAAAAAUCUCAACCCGCGAGUGACUUCAGUUUCACCCUUCUUCCUUCUCCUUUUUAUCUCUCAUCUCCUUCUCUCUAUGCGGCAGCCAACAACCUCACAUCCAUGAUCCAGCACCCUCCUUCUACCUCCUCCCACCACCUAAUUCUUCUCUUUCUCUCCCUUUGACAUCCACGAAACUCAAGUUCCAUAUAUGGGUUUUUUUUUUCUUGUUUUAAAGGACUGACAUACACAAAAUUGAAUUUGAUCUAGGUUGGGUUUCAGGUGGGUGCGGGGUGGGAUGGGAUGGGAUGGUCGUGGUGGAGGGGUGGCUGGCAGGCUAGGGUGUUAGAAUCGAGGGGGAGGGAGGGUAGAAAGGAGCAAGGGGAGGGGAAUGAGUUGAGAUGGAUAAAUUUUCUCCCCUUUUUUUUUAAAUAUUUUUAUUUACAAAUUUUGAUUUUUCACCAAAUUUUACAAAGAAAUAUUUAUGUACUGUUUCAUAACUUAUGAUACAUUUUAGAUUAGUCAUUUCUCUAUUUUUAUUUCCCCCCAUAAUUCUAUUUUUUUAAAAAUAGAAUUUCAAAAAGCAUUCUUUCUGGUUUGGGACAAGGUAAUUUUCCAAGAGGUGCAUAUGGAUCCAAUACAAGUUGCUCUGGAAGAUCUCUGAAGACAUAAGAAGUAAGAGCAGAAGCAUCAUGUAAUUCAAUUUGGGUUGGGGCACUGGGUUGGGGAUGGGUGGUUGUGGCGAGGUGAGGAAUGGAAGUAUGGCUGUCUCAGUCUGGGAGACAGAGGGUUAGGAGGGGCUGGGGGUGUUGAAUGCUUCUAUUUUUUAUUUUUAUUUUUGGGUACAUAAUGAUUCUUCUUUCACUUUCAGUUUCGACAAUGAUGUUGGAAUAUACACCAAAAUUUUAUCCUGUGUAUAAUUAAAAGUAAUUCUUUAUCCCAAACCAUGUUCACUAAUGGGCCAAUAAAAUGGCAAUAAUACUUCAGUAAUAAUUCACUCAAUGUUUUGUAUGGAUUGCUAUGUGUAUUUAUUGUGAAUAUUGGAAGUUGUAGCAUAGAAAAUUAAUAAUAAAUUGAAGAGAACAACAUGUAGCUUCAGAGAUUGGUACAUCGUUAAGGUUUCUGAAUGGUGUUCUUCCCGCAUAGCUCCAAGUUAUUUUUUGAAUGUUUUAAGGUAAACAAAAAAGUAAUAGAAACUAAAGUUUUAUAACAUUAAUUUGUUUAUAAACAAACCAAAACCAUACUUAAGUUUUAUAACAUCACACUUUUGUUUCUCUGAUCCAAUGAUUACUGAAUUCAAAUUGGUUGAAUUAUAAUUUUGAGAGUUCUAAAAUCGAAGACACUGUCGUAAGGAACACGUAGCUUUUUUAGGGUAUAUUAUAAGUGAAAAUUAUAUUUUAGAGCUUUGGGUACAGAGAAUGUCACAAGGAGUUCCUAGGAAUUUUCAGUGUAUUUUUUGGAUUUUUAAUUAAUUUAUUAUGAAUUUGAGAAAUAAAAUCAAGAAAAAUAAUAUUAAAUAGUAUAAGGCAACACUGGCAGCAGCUAAAGGUGGCGCCGUCAUUGUUUCCAAAAGGUGGUGUAACAAGACUACGCCAUAUGUCAUUUUGAUUACUUUUUGAAGUUUAUCCUAUAAAAAGAAUUUAAAAAAAAAAUCAGAAAAAUACACCGAAAAUUGCGACAAACUCCUCACGACAUCAUCCUCGAUUAUGAAGGUCCAAAAUUAUGAUUUCACAUAUUUGAGUACAAGGUAGUCGUUGGAUCAAAGGCCACGAGUAUUAAGUUACAAAACAUCAACUAGUGUUUUAUAUUGUUUAGAAACAAAUUUGAGUUUUCAUUAUCACUUCACAUUUUUAUAAGUGAGCAUUUUGCUUUUGUAGUUUGAGGGUGUAGAGAAUGUCACAAGGAGUUCUUAAGAAUUUUCGAUGUAUUUUUUGGAUUUUUAAUUAAUUAAUUAUGAAUUUUAUAAGUAAAAUCAAGAAAAAUUAAUAUUAAAUAGUAUAGGGCGACACGUGGCAUCGGCUGAAGGUGGUGCCGUCAGUGUUUCCAACAGGUGGCAUACCACGAUUGCUCCACAUGUCAUUUUGAUUACUUUUUCCAAUUUUAUUUUUAAAAAUUAUUUAAAAAAUAAUUAAAAAUCAUAAAAAUACACUUAAAAUUGCUACAAACUCCUCAGACAUCAUCUUCGAUUGUGAAGGUCUAAAAUCAUGAUUUCACAUAUUUGAAUUUAAGGUAAUCGUUGAAUUAAAAAACAUGAGUAUUAUGUUAAAGGACAUCAAUUAGUGUUUUCAAUUGCUUAGAAACAAAGUUGAGUUUUAUUAUUACUUGACAUUUUUAUAAAUAAAAAUUAUACUUUUAGAACAACGUAGAUAAUGUCACAAGAAGUUCCUAGGAAUUUUCGGUGUAUUUUUUGAAUUUUGAAUUAAUUUAUUAUGAAUUUUAGAAAUUAAAUCCAAGAAAAAUACUAUUAAAUGGUAUAGGUCGACAAAUGGCAGUGUUGAAGGUGGCGCCGUCAAUGUUUCCAAUAGGUGGCGUUCCCAGAUUGUGCCACAUGUCAUUUUGAUUAUUUUUUUCAAUUUCCUUUAAAAAUUAUUUUAAAAUAAGUAAAAAUAAAAAAAAAAUACACCGAAAAAUGAUACAAACUCCUCACGACAUCAUCCUCAAUUAUGAAAGUCCAAAAAUCAUGAUUUCACAUAUUUGAGUUUAAGAUAAUUGUUGGAUCAAACAACAUGAGUGUUAAGUUAUAGAACAUCAACUAGUAUUUUAGAUUGUUUUGAAAUAAAAUUGAGUUUUAGUUAUCAUUUUAUAUUUUUAUAAUAUAAAAAUUAUACUUUUAGAGAUUGAGGGUGUAUAGAAUGUCAGAAGAGGUUCUUAUAAAUUUUUUAUGUAUUUUUUAGAUUUUUAAUUAAUUAAUUAGGAAUUUUAGAUGUUUUGUUUUGUUUUGUUUUGUUUUUUGUUUUAGAUUAGGAAUUUUAGAAGUUAAAUUAAUGAAAAAUUAUAUGAAAUAGUAUAGGGCGACACAUGGCAGCAAUUGAAGAUGGCGCCAUCAGUGUUUCCAACAGGUGGCGUCCCACAAUUGCGCCACAUGUUGUUUUGUUACUUUUUUCAAGUUUAUCUUUAAAAUUUCAUAAAAAUAAUUAAAAUUGAUUAUAAAAAAAUACACCAAAAAUUGCUACAAACUCCCUAUGAAAUUAUCUUCGACUUUGAGUUCAUAAUAAUUAUUGUAUCAAAUAACAAGAAUAUUAGGUUAUAAAACAUCAUCUAGUGUUUUAGAUUUCUUAGAAACAAAUUUGAGUUUUUAUUAUCAAUUUAUAGUUAUAUAACUCAAAAUUAUACUUUUAGAGCUUGAAGGUGUAGAGAAUGUCACAAGGAGUUUCUAAAAAUUUUCGUUAUAUUUUUUGGAUUUUUAAUUAAUUUAUUAUGAAUUUUAGAAGUUAAAUUCAAGAUAAAUAAUAUUAAAUCAUACUGAGCGACACGUGGCUGCAGUUGAAGGUGCACUGUCAGGGUUUCCUCCAACAGGUGGCAUACCGCGAUUGGUCUAUACCCUUUAAUAUUAUUUUUAUAGUGUUUAACUUCUAAAAUGCAUAAUAAAUAAAUUAAAAAUCCUAAAAAUACAGCGAAAAUUGCUAAAAACUCGUCACGACAUCAUCCUUGAUUAUUGAGGUCCAAAAUUAUGAUUUAACAUAUUGGAGUUUAUGGUAAUCGUUUGAUCAAAUAACUUGAGUGUUAUGUUAUGAAACAUCAACUAAUGUUUUAGAUUGUUUAGAAACAAAGUUGAUUUUUUAUUAUCAAUUUAUAUUUUUAUAAGUGGAAGUUAUAUUUUCCAAGCUUGAGGGCGUAGAGAAUGCUACAAGGAGUACAUAAGACUUUCUGAUAUAUUUUUUAGAUUUUUAAUUUAUUUAUUAUUAAUUUUAGAAGUUCAAUCCCAAAAGAAAUAAUAUUAAAUUAAAGUGAAUCACAUGUGGCAGUUCUAGAAAGAAGAGUUGUCAUUGUUUUUGAUAGGUGGCGUUCUACGAUUGCGCCACAUAUCAAUAUUAUUAUAUUGUUAUUUAUUAUAAAUUAUUAUUAUAUUACUUUGGACUGUAAAUUAUUAUUAUAUUAUUAUUAACCCUAAAUUAUUAUUGUAUUGUUAUUUACCCUAAAUUAUUAUUUUAUUUAUUUUUACCAUAAACUAUUAUUAUUUACCCUGGAUUAUUAUUAUAUUAGUUCUCACCCUAAAUUGUUAUUAUAUUUCCUUUUACCCUAAACUGUUAUUAUAUUUCCUUUUACCCUAAAUUAUUAUUAUAUUGCCCUUCUCUAUACCAAAAUUUUUAUUUUAUUAUUAUAUUUCUUUUUACCAUAAAUGCUAUUAUUUUGCAACAUGAAUUUAAAUGGAAAAAAUAUAUUUUAAACAUAAGUUAAAAUUUAAAAAUUGCAUUACAAGGUAAAAUAAUAUUUUAAAAAAAUUAAAAAUUAAAAGAAAAAAAAAACCUACAACUUCUCUCUCUCUCUCUCUCUCGGCCCACCCCAACCCCCUUCUCGCUCUCUCUCCCUUUUUCAAGCCCCAGCACCAACCACCCAAAAAAACAAAAAAAAAACCAAUGAACCUAUCCCAUCCCUUUUUCUUUCUUCUUUUAAAUCACAACCUCAACCCUUUACCCUAGACAGCCAUACUUCUACCCUUCACCUCGUCAUAACCACCCAUCCCCAAGCUGGUGCUUUGAAUUGUGUAAAAUAGAAAAGAAUUUUACUUUAUAUGGGCUGCAGGUAGAAUUGUGUAUUACCAUUGUAUUGAUGUAGUUGUUAUAAGAGCAGCUCCAGCGCUACUUCAAAUUUGGGCAAAAGGCCCCCCGACCGAGCCCAAACACCCUCCAGCGCAAGAGAAGAGGCCCGGGUAAGAGCUGGGUCCCACCAGCCUGGGCAGGCCCAAUGGCAAGUUUCGCUUGGGCUUCAGCCCGAGGGUUGCGACGUCAGCGCAAGGCAAUUCAAAUUUUUUUUACCGUUGGCGCAUGAGUUUCACGCGCCAACGGUAAAAAAAUUUGACUUCCAUGCGCUGACGUCAACGUGAUGUCAGCGCUAAUAGAACCCAAUGGGCAUGUGCCACAUGUUGCAACCGGGACGCUCCGAUCGGUUUUUUUUCCAGAAAUCCGACGGUUCGAAAAAAUUCUGAAAUUUUUUUUAAAAAAAAACCAAAAAAUUAUGUAUUUUUUUCCUUAUAAAUACCUAACCAUUUUAUUUACUUUCCACACCAAAUCUUCAUACAAUUUCUUCUCUAUCCAAUAUUUUUUACUCUCCCCUCAUAUUAUUCACUUUCGACACCAAUUCUCCAUACAAACUCUUCUCCUUCCAAUAUUUUUUACUCUCCACUCAUAUUUUUCUACUACUUUCCAUUUGUAUAAAAAAAAAAAAAAUUACAUCUUCUGUCGAAGCCGGAGGCUCGUGAAAAACUCAGGAAGAUAUUGCGUUGUGUCAGUCUUGGGUGAACGUUAGUCAUGACCCUAUCACAGGCAAUGAGAUGAAGUUCAAUAAUAUGUGGAGCAAAAUUCAUGGAGAAUUUUGUCAAAGAUCGGGUUCCAUUCGGACCGAAAUGACCUUGUAUAGUAGAUGGAAACUUCUGAAUAAAGAGUUAGGGAAAUGAAGAAAUGCCUUGACAAAAGCAAGGGAGAACAUUCGAAGCGGUCAAAAUCUAUCCGAUGAGGUAAAAUAUUUAUAAUUGCCAUUUUAAUCAAUUUAAUGUGAUUUUUUUAAUUGCAUAUUCUAUUUUUUUUUCUUGCAUUAUCUUUUUUUUUUUUUUGCAUUUCCAAUUUGUCUAUAUUUUCUUGCAUAAUCAAUUUUAUUCUUGCAUUUCAAAAUAGUUUAUAUUUUCUUGCAUAAUAAUUUUUUUUUCUUGCACUUCCAAUUAUUUAUUUUUAAUAGAUCAUCCAAGCACAAAUGUGGUUCGGUGCCAUGGGGCAAGGCAAAAAAAAUUUCGUGCAUUUCCAAUGUUAGGAAGUUGUGAAGGAUUGUUCGAGAUUCAAAAUUAUUCCUACCGGUCCGCCGGUCGGUUGUGUUGAAUGAGACGCCGCUCCACAAUUCGCCAUCAACCGAUUCCCCAUUGGACUCCCCAAUGGAAACGGAGUCACCACUCUCACGUCCGCCGGGACUUAUUGGGAGAAAGGCGGCAAAGGCCAAGAGAGGGGGCAAUUCGAACAAUGAAUGUGUACAAUUAUUGGAGCAAAUAGCUAAGAACACCUCACUAAGAAUUGAGAGAGACUUGAAAAGAGAUGAAGUGGACAAGGCACGAGAGGAAGCAUUUGCAAUUCAACAGCAGCAGGCACAAGAAAAAGACAUGGAUGAUAGACAGAUGAAAAUCAUGGCCAUGAAUACGAGCCAUAUGUCUCCUGAAACAAAGGCCUAUUGGAAGCAUAGACGAAGGGAUGUGAUGAGAAGAAAACUUUUCCAUGACGACGAACCUAGCAAUACAGAUUGGUUAAAUGAUGAAAACCAUUAGGUUGUAUUGAAACACCUUUGCCAUAUGUUGUAUUGUUGUAUUGUUGUAUUAUCCUUUAAUUUGUUAUAUUGUUUCCUGUUCAUUAAAUAAAAAAAGUAUUAAAUAAUAUGACUAUUUAUUAAAAACAUUUGAGCAUCAAAACAAAGAUUAAUUAAAAACAAACCUUAAUUUAUUGCAAACAACACACAAAACAAACCAUACAUAAAAGCAUAAUAAAAAAGAAGAAGCCAUAAUUCCAAAAAACACCACACACAAAAUAAAGCAUAAUUAAAGACAAAGCAUAAUUCCAAACAAAGUACUAAUCUUGACUUCAUCCAUUGUGAUUGCCUUUCAUCUCCCGCAAGUGCUUGAUCAAGUCAAUUUGACGUCUCUCGUGAACAUAUGAAGAUUGCAUUUCUUGAUAACGAUCAAUCAUGAGGUUGUUGAAUCGACCAUCCCGAACUAACGGUUCGGGCUCCAUUGGUAGUCCAUUUGGUCCCAUCGGCCUUUCAUAUAUUCUUGUCAACGCCGUAUUCAUGGGAUCGGGUUCAAACACCUCUGGACCAUCGUAGUCAUACUCAUCCUCCACAAUCAUGUUGUGGAGGAUGAUGCAAGUCAUCAUAAUACUCCGCAACACCUCCUCAUUUAGCAUCCGAGCAGGACCCCUAAUAAUUGCCUAAUGAGCUUGCAAGAUACCAAAACACCUUUCCACGUCUUUCCUGUAACCUUCUUGAAAGGAAGCUAAGCUUGUUUCCUUCUCGAAUUGGGGAUUCAGAAUUGUUUUCACGAAUGUUGUCAACCUAGGAUAAAUUCCGUCGGCAAGGAAGUACGCACCAGAGUAUACGGUAUUGUUGAUUUGGUAUGUGAUAUGGAGGGAAUGGCCUCGCAAUACCUCGUUGAACACUGGGGGUUGACCAAGGACAUUGAGGUCAUUCUGAGAUCCGGCAACUCCGAAGAAGGCAUGCCAAACCCAGCAGUCGAAUGAAGCUACGGCCUCCAAAAUUAUACUUUUUUGGCCCUUCCGAUUCCUGUACUUUCCUUGCCAAGCAGUAGGACAAUUCUUCCGCUACCAGUGCAUGCAAUCAAUGCUUCUAAUCAUGCCUGGGAAACCUCGAGCCUCUGCUUUUUGUAGCAGCCUUUGCAGGUCCCUCGGCAUGGGUUUGCGAAGAUACUCCCUCGUGUACAAAUUUUUCACUGCAUCACGGAAUCUCACCAAGCAUUCUAGGAUAAUUGAUUUUUCCAUCCUUGCAAUCUCAUCCACUUGCUCUGCAGAUGCCCCAUAAGCAAGCAUCCGCAAAGUAGCUGUAAGUUUUUGCUCCGGGAUAAGACCCAAAACUCCAACAGCAUCAUGCUUUUGAAUGGAGUAUGUGUCGUAAUUACAAAUAUCAUGCACGAUUUUGUUGGAACAAAUGUGGCUACAUUCUAUAUCUCUCUCGAAACUUAGAAACAUGAUAUAACGAAUUUGGGAUAAAUUAAUCAUCCAAGAGAUUCUUAUCCCGAAACUCCCUACGUCUGUCCACAUUUGGGGCACGAGGACGAUGGUGUUGCCUUGAUUGAUUAUGCAUACACAUCGCUGCUGCAAGCAUUUGUUCCUCUUCUUCAUCGGCGUCCCGAUCUUCUUCAGCACGUUUACUCCGGAUUUCUUCCCUUUCUUUCUAUUGCCUUUCCAACACCCUCCUCAAGUUUGACAUUGAGAGUAGAAUGUGUUUUGUAAAAUCUGAGAAAUGAAGGAAUAAAUAAGAGAUAGUGUGAGAGGUAUGAGUUGAUGGUGUAGUUUUAUAGAGGGAUUCAGAAGAUAGAGAUGACACGUGGCACAAUUUUAGAGGGUGAAAAUCUUAUCUGAAAUCUGAAAUUAUAAUUUUUUUUAAAAUAUCUGAAAAUCCUAUCUGACAUGGGACACGUGGCACAAUUUUAGAGGGUGAAAAUCUUAUAUGAAAUAUGAGAUUAUAAUUUUUUUUUAAUGAAUAUCUGAAAAUUUUAUCUGGAAUAAGACACGUGGCAAUCGAGAUUCUCAUUCGAAAAUAUUUUCUGAAACAUAAUGAACAUGUGACAACCAAAAAUCUUAUCCGAAAAUUUAAUUACAAAACAUUAUCAAAAUUAACGGUUUAAAGUAUAAAAAAAUAAAAUAAAUAAAGUACAAUGAAUAGUAUUUGCCUUAGACUUGCCUUAGACUUAGAGCUUCUCCAGCGGCACAGCCCAGCCCGAGGCUAGGGGAGGAAAAAAAAAAAAGGUGUUCCAGCGGACAGCCCAGGCCCGAGGGCAAGGUGGGACCCAGCAACCUGGGCUGGCCCGAGGGCAAGGUUGGCCCGAGCUCCAACCCUCGUUUUGGUGCUACAGUAUCGCUACAGUAUAGCUACAGUGCCGCUACAGUACCGCAGUGCUACAGUGAUGCUAUAGUGUCUGCGCUACAGUACCACUAAAAGUCCACGUGUCGCACUCUGAGCUCUCCGAUCAGAUUUUUUUCUCCAAUCCAACGGCAGCCAAUUUUUGUGCAAUAAAAAAAUGAAAAAAAAUUGAAUUUAAAAAAAAAAAACCAAAAAAAUACUCUUUUUUUUUCUAUAAAUACCAAAAAAUUUUCCGAUUGAGAUAUGAAUUUUAUAAUAAAUAUUGAUAUGUACGAACCCAAAAAUAUUAUCUGAAAAUAUUACCCAAAUUAAUUAUUUUCAUUAAAAAAUAGGAGGGAACGAACAAAAAAUUAAUAGGACUUGCCANNNNNNNNNNNNNNNNNNNNNNNNNNNNNNNNNNNNNNNNNNNNNNNNNNNNNNNNNNNNNNNNNNNNNNNNNNNNNNNNNNNNNNNNNNNNNNNNNNNNUGGCAAUUACUAUUCAUUUUUUUGUUUUUUCCUCCUAUUUUUUAAUGAAAAUAAUUAAUUUGGGUAAUAUUUUCAGAUAAGAUUUUCGGAUUCCUACGUGUCAAGACUAUUCAUAAUCAGAUAAAAUUUUCGGAUAAGAUAUUUGGAUUCAAAUUUUGGAUUAAUUUCAAAGUUCAAAUUUCAGAUAAAUUUUUGGGUUCAAAUUUCGAAUGAAUUUCAAAAUUCAAAUUUCAGAUAAAUUUGGGUUCAAAUUUCAGAUAAAUUUGGGUUCAAAUUUCGGAUGAAUUUCAAAAUUUGAAUUUCAUACAAAUAAGGGUUCAAAUUUCGGAUGAAUUUCAAAUUUCAGAUAAGAUUUUCAUCCAAUAAAAUCAAGCCACGUGGCAUGUCUAUCUUGCCAAAUUUUUCUAUAAAAUCAGAGUCUCAGCUCGUACCUCUCACACCACAUCUUUCUAUAUUUUCAUUUCUGAGAGUUUAUAAUUCAUACUUCAUUCAUUCUGAAUGGAAGAAUUUAGGAGAUGCUUGGAGAGACAAGAGAGAGAAAGAAGAGAGAGAAACCGUAGAGCAGAUGAAGUCAAUGAGUUGCAGAGACAAGUCAAUGAGCAAGUUCUCAUAGCAGUGACUUUGGAAGAAGAAGAGAACCAAGGUCGCCGCCAUAGUUCACAAGCCGGCCGCCGCCGGAAUGUGGAAAGACAUAGGCAUUCUAGGGGUAAGAAUCUUUUGGAAGAUUAUUUUAUCCCAACUUCUUUGUACUCUGAUGUUGAUUUUCGAAGGCGAUUUAGAAUGCAACCUCAUUUGUUCAAUAAAGUCAUGCAUGAUAUUUGCAAUUAUGAUGCAUACUUUGUUCAAAAGUGUGAUGCUGCUGGGGUUUUGGGGCUUCUUCCGGAGCAAAAGCUUACAGCUGUUAUACGAAUAUUGGCGUAUGGAGCAUCUGCUGAUCAGGUGGAUGAGAUUGCCCGGAUGGGGAAGUCCACUACGUUGGAGGCUUUGGUAAGAUUUUGUCAAGCUGUUGAAACUCUGUACACUAGGGACUACCUGCGUAGACCUACUCCUAGGGACCUCCAACGGCUUCUACAAAAAGCCGAAGCUCGAGGAUUCCCUGGAAUGAUUGGUAGCAUCGACUGCAUGCACUGGCAAUGGAAGAAUUGCCCAACUGCCUGGCAAGGUGAUUAUGGAAAUCGAAAAGGCCAAAAAAGUAUCAUCCUUGAAGCGGUUGCUGGUUUCGACACAUGGGUUUGGCAUGCCUUCUUCGGAGUUGCAGGAUCACAAAAUGACCUCAACGUGCUGGGUCAAUCCCUGGUCUUCAACGAUGUAUUGAGAGGUCAGGGCCCCAAUAUCACCUAUGAAGUCAAUAAUACAGUGUACCAGACGGGGUAUUAUCUAGCUGACGGCAUCUACCCGAGGUGGACCACUUUUGUCAAAUCUAUUCCGAAUCCCCGAUCCCAGAAGCAAAAAUUAUUUGCUACCUAUCAAGAGGGAUACAGGAAAGAUGUCGAAAGGUGUUUUGGUAUCCUUCAAAUCAUAAAAACACUCGGAGACAUGGACACGGAGCGACUCGGAAUCGAUCCGUCUGGAGAAGAGGGGAAGGAAAUGAAGGUGAAACUCUAAUUUCCUCUUUUGUUUAUUUGGAAAGUGUAUGAAACUGAAGAAAAAUUGACUUGUUCAAUAAUAGGCUCAACACCAACCCAACAAUGACUAUAUGCUACGCUACGCAGAGCACCUCAUGAAGGAAGCAAAGGUAAAACCCUAAUUUUUAGGUUUGUUUACUUGGAAAGUGCAAGAACUGGAAGGAAUUUUUUUUAUUGGUAGAAAGAAUUAAGAGUUUGAGAAUUUUAUGGUGUCUUAGUUUGUGGGUUUCUGAUCUAAAUUAUUAAUUUUUUAACAGCGGGGGGAUGGAUAUCAAGUUGUUACUCCCAAAGGUAAAUGAAUGCAAAUAUAUAUACACAUUAGCUUCGUGUUAUGAUUGUAUUUUAAUUUGCAUUGCUGUUGUGUUGUGUUGGCAUGUUCAUGUUGUGCUCAUGAUAAAGUACUUGUUGACGUUGACAAUCUUCGUUUGAAUGGGAAGCACUACGGUACUUGGAGAUGUAGUAUGAUGGAACAUGUCCUAGAUAAUCUUAGAGGUGUGAUCUAUGGGCCACGCCCAAGUUUUGUGGUAGAAACAGAUGCAAGUGUUGAAGAAAUUGCUCGAUCAAUGGCUGCCGAAGAGAAAUGGAACGAGGAUGACACCCUGUGUUUUCAUACAAUCUUGAACCAUCUAUGUGAUGAUCUUUUUCUUCAUUACUCAAAGAGGAGGAAGGAAACAAGUGCCAAGCAACUGUGGGAUGAGCUGCAAUUGAGGUUUGGAGCACACGAAUCUCGGGUUCAAAAGUACAUGGAAUUUGAUUUGCUCGAGGAGGAGGAACCAAUGUGGGUGCAAGCUCAAGAAAUGGAUUCAUUGUUCUUCGCUCUGGUUAGGUGUAACAAAAUGGAGAUAGAUGAGGAAUUUCAUGUGAAUGCAAUCAUCUCCAAGCUCCCCCCAUCUUGGGAGGAUGUGUGCAUCGAGUUGAUGCGCGAGGAGCAUUUGCCUGUUACAAAACUAAUUCAUCGCCUGAUUGUUGAACAACAAUCACGCAUCAAUUAGUUAAUCACAAGAAAAGGAAACUAGUAGUAAGCUUGAUUUUUUUUUAUACAUGUUUCGAGUUUUAAUGGGACCUUCCAUGCUUUGAUUUUCUUUUAAAAUUGAUAACAUUUUUUUUAUUAUUAUUCAAUUGCUCUAACUAUUUGUUUAAUCAUUAACAUGUUUGUAAUCACCUAUGGGAGAAAAUUCAACCUCAAUACUACUGAGGUUACCUUUCUAGGUGUAGAGUUUAGUAAAAAUAUUUUUAUUUCAUUUUAUUAAUUAAACUGAGCAGUAAUACUAGUGUUCACAUCCAUCAACCGCAGGGUCCGCUCCCCAUUCCGUGUAUGAAAUUUUGGGAAAUUAUCAUUCUUGUCUCCGUCUGGGUAAAAUCUAUUUAACACUUAAAUUUCACUCAACCAUUCAAAAUCAUCUCAAUUUAAUUGGACAAAACUAUAAAAAUGUCCAAAGCUUUAACAUCUUACAAAGUUUAGGAUAACUUUUUAAUUUUUAUAUUAUAUCACAUUAUAAAUUUAUCAAUUAAAAAUAAAUACAUCAAUUAUCAGGCCGGGUUCAGGAUAGGGAUACCAUCCUCAGUUAUCUGCCAUCCCUAUCCAAUUCCCAACAAAAAUAUUAUUAUUACAAUCUAUAAUAUAUAAUAAAAUAUAUAAUAAGGAAUGAACAUGAGAAACAAGGAAAUUAAUUAUCAUAGCUAUAGUGGAUGAGCUUAUAAUUUUUUUUUCAUUUUAUUUGUGGAUAGAAGCGAUAUUCUACUUUAAACUAAUCUAAACUUCGUGGAUGGAAAAUUGAACUUAGAUGCAGAGUGGGGAGCACAUUCGCUCUACCCAACCUGGCUAAGCCCAUGUCUGCAGAUGAUGCAUGCAUUUUAGUAAAACAAUGGAUUCAUUUACGUGCCAUGUUACCCAAUUGAUGAUUAUUGUACGACUAGACGGAAAUGAGGCAUUAUGAGUCAUAUAAUUUGUAUGUGGGGAGUUAGCUGGAACAAUUGAAGUUAAGGAUGAAGUGAGAUUCAGAACUCAGUUUCAAAAUACGUAUCAAUAGUUAAAGAUUUUGUAAGAUGGUCAUUCAUAAUUUUGUACAAUGUCUCUCGUAAUAUUAUUUUGGCAAGUAAUCCCUUUUAUUUAUUGCAUAUAUAAAUUUAACCAUUCUUUACUUUGGUUCAUGUAGCUUUAAUAUAAGCAAUUUCACUCCUAUAGUAAUCCAAACCGUGUGUGACAAGAAAUGAUCAAUUGAACAUCAAUAGCUAGUGUGAUUUUUUUUUUUUUUUUUAGUGGUGUGAUCACAAGUAGCCAAUCCUUAAGUAACUCACAAAGUGUUGAUCCCAAAAGCCCUCCCUUUUUCCCCUAUCGUCCUCUGUUGUAAACUCUCUUCUAGAUCAUAGACUGUACAUUCGAAAGAGAUCAACAAAAAUUCCCCUGUAAAUAUUUAUUGUGACACAUGGUAUUGUGAGGUCGGCAUGUUUUGAAUAAUUAGCAGAUAAGCUUAUUGUAAAUCAGUUGAUUUAUUCUUAAACACGUCACAAGGCAUUAUUCUUUCACUCACUGUUUGCUAUCUUUUUUUAAAUCUUAAUUUAAAUCACUAUUUUCAUUCAUUUGUGAGACUUAACUUUGACGUGGCCAACAAGAAUAGGAUACGUGCUGCCAAUUGACCAGGUUUUUCGUGAUUUGGAUUAACAAACAACAUGUUUGGAAUUACUAGAAUUUAAAUUAGGGUAGGGAUCAUGCCAUCAACCAUUUUUUUACCUGACAAAUUAUAAUAAAGGCUUCAAAUCAAACGUUCAAAGCAUAAAAACACUCGGAGACAUGGACACAGAGCGACUUGGAAUCGAUCCGUCUGGCAAGGGCCGGAACGGUGGAGAAGAGCUCAAGGACACGAAGGUGAAACCCUAAUUUCUAAGUUUGGUUACUUGGAAAGGAAGGAAAAUUGAAUUCUUAUAUAAUAGGUUUCUUUUGGUUCUAUUCUAUAUGAGUGUUUAGUGGGCGUGUGUGAUCUAAAUUAAUUCUCUUGUUUUAUUAGCUACCAAAACCAACGCCAUGGAAGAUUGGGGGAUUUUAUGGAGUUUUUGAAGGAAGAGAUGGAAUGCCGGUUUCUGGCUAUGGUACAAUACACUAAUAUAUCUUAUUUUCUCAUGGCAAUUACUGACUCCUGGUCCUGGUUUUGGUUGAAAUAUGUAUAUACUUUCAUUAAGUUACUGUUUAAAUUAUAUUUCAUGUGAUUUGUAUGUUAUAUGUUUUCAGUCAUCUGGAGAGACUUGAAUAAGAGGACCCGAGACAUGCAUGCGGUCGCCAAGAUUGAGUCAAAGUUGAGAUCUGAACGUGAUAAUGAGCAAAGGGAAUAUGGUAUGUCUGGUCUUGCUCGUCCAGAACUUGUUCCCAUUGACCCUGUUCGUCUUGAUGGGAAGAACUACCCCAUCUGGGCGCGGCGAAUGGAGUUUUUCCUCAAGGAAUUAAAAGUUGAAUAUGUACUCUAUGAGCCAUGCCCUAGCAUUAUUGUAGGAUCUGUAGCAUUUUCUGGAGGACUUACUGAAUUGAAGGAUGCUAAAGAGAAAUGGAUCAAGGAUGACUUUCUGGGUCUUCGCACGAUCUUGAACUAUCUAUGCGAUGAUCUCCUCCAUCGUUAUGGAAAGAGAAAGAAAACUACAAGUGCUAAACAACUGUGGGACGAUCUAAAAUUAAUGUUUGGAACAAAGAAAUAUCUGGUUAGAAAGUACAUGGAUUUUCAGAUGGUCGAUGAAAAGCCACUUGUGGAGCAAAUUCAAGAAUUCAAUCGCAUUUUCGAUGAAGUUGUGGCUUCUGGAAUGACGUUGAGUGAGAAAUUUCAUGUAUCUGCUAUAUUAUCCAAGCUCCCUGCCUCUUGGAAGCAUGUGAACAUCAAGUUGAAGCGCAAUAUUGAUGAGCCUUUGACUUUAGAAGUGUUGAUGGAUCAUUUGAGGAUUGAAGAAGAGUACGUUUGCGUAUGAACCCAACGGAUGUAUUUUGUUUAUGAAAUUCAUGUAAGAAAUUAUUAGGGGUUUUUUUUUUAUAUAUCAAAGACUAAGCAAACAUGAUUGGAAUUUCAAAAAUCUAAAAUUUAGUGCCCUAAUUUCUAUGUUUGGUUACUUUUUUUGGCUCGUUCUAUGUGAGUUGUGUAUUGAAGUGGGCACUAGUUAGCCGACUUUGUCUGUGCCUUUAGGAAAUUACGAUUAAUUUGGACAAUGAAAUGAGUAUAAAGAAGCAUCACUGUCCCAGACAAGGAAACUUUUGUAUCAACUCGAUCCGUCUUAAUAUCAGAAGAAAAUAGUUCAAAACAAUCUGAACUUGGACAACCCAUGGUUUCACAACUUUAAAAAACAACAGAGAUUCCAAGUUACUAGUGUUAAUGCUCAUCUAAAACGAUAAAAAAGAAAAGAAGAAAAAUAAUAAAGUCAUAUACAGUUGAUCCAAAUUAAAAAUCAAAAUCCCAUUUGUUGUAACCAAAAAAAGUGAUAUCAAUUUUGAAUGCCGCGUCCAAAAAUCCAAAAAAACAAAAUUUCUUAUAUAUGAUGAUCCAAAAUUGUCAUUCCAUAAUUUGUCCCACAAAAGUUCCAAAAUUAAGCUUCUUACUGUAAAACAUGUACAUCAAGAGUCCAAAAAAGAAAAGCAACACUAGAAAGUGUUUUUGUAACAUAAGCAAUUUUUAUAUAUGCCAAACUUAUCAAAAGCGCUUUUGAUUGUCAUCCAUCGUAUUUUGACAUGUCAAUAGCACUCCCAAACAUACCCUAAAUAUAGUUGAUCCCCUACUUUACUUUGCAUAAGUUGUCUCAACUAAAGGACUAGAAUAAUAACAAGACAAGUUCAAACCACAUAUGAGUGGGGUGUUAAAAAUAGGUCCAAACUCUAGAAGUGAUAUUAUAUAAUCAAAAUAAUUUUCUCUAAUAUUUCAUUUAUAUUUUACAUUCAUAUCUUUUAAUAUGUUUGAUUAUAUUAAACAUAAGGAUAAAUAUUUAUUAUUUAUUAUUGUCUUUUUAUUAUUAUUAAAACCGAUCAUCCACUCCAAUUCAAUAUCAAUUGGAUCGGAUCGGAUUGGAUUUAAACAUCUAAUAUGAUUGGAUCAGAUUGAAAAAAUCACAAUUCAAUCUAUAUUGGAUCGGAUGCGGAUUGACUAAAUUGUAUUGGUUUCGAACUGAUGUACACCCCUAACACCACUAUUAGAUCCACCCCAGCAGCCUAGCAGAGGCAAAAGGCCCCCUAGGCCUCAAAAUCAGCUUCCAACGCACAAAUCUUGUUAGGGAAAGAGAUGAGCUCCACCAAUCCGAGCAAGAUGAGCCUAAACUCCUGUCCGUGGGCUGUGACGUAAGCGUUGACGCCCGUUUCAUAUCGACUUAUGGAUUGCGUACCAUAUAAUUUAAAUUCAACUUCAAUUCAAUCGAAUGAAAAAUUUAUCAACCCCGAACAACUUCUGCUAGACUAGCUAAAGGUGAAAUACGUGCAUAUAACUGAAUGAAAGAUAGUGGGGACCCUUUGUAAAUAGAAUGAAUGAAACAAAGUGACUAAUAUGAGAAAUUUUGGUGUUGUGAUAGCUUUGAUUGUCAUAUGAACCUGCAGGUGUUUGUGAUAGAUUUUGUACCUGGUGGUUUGGCAUGCCUCAUGAAAAAAGAGGCCGAACUAGAUAUUGUAAAGAAUUUCCUCCUGAAGACUCUCCACCUGCAAGGGUGGGCGAAGACAAUUGAUAAUUUUACAAUAGGAGAAGGUGUUCAGCCUGCAAGUUUUAAGGUUCACUUGGAUCAAUAUUGUGGGAAGGAAAUUUUAGUUGCAAUUAGCUGCAUAUUUUGGUGGUAGCAAAGAGUUGCUGCUGUUGACUCGUCAAUGGGCCGGGUCGGGCUAGUCCGGCCCAAAUUUAAUGGGCUUGGGUUGGGUCGGGCCGAGCUUUAAAGAGGAGAGAGAAAAUAUCCGGGUCGAGUUUUUUUAGAAAAUUGAAAGCCCAAGCCUAACCUAUGAGCCGGGCUUGAGAAAGCCCAUUUGGCCGGGCUGAGCUAAACCUAACGGGCCGGGCCUAAACGGGCCCUACUUCAUUCAAAAAAAAUCAUAAACUUAAUCAUAAAGGCAUUUUAGUCCAAAUUUGAGAUUAAACUCACUUAAUUCCAAUAUUUUCACUUCAAACCAAAUUCAUAGAACACCCAAUAAAGUCACACAACUUAUAAGAUUUUUCACAAAACUAAUAAAACCAAGUAUUAUUUUUGAGGUUAUUACAUAAUUAGAUCGUAAUACGUUUUAAGAAAUAAUUUUUAAAAAUCCUAAGUAUCAAAAAAAUAUUUUUUUAAAUGAUGGUAUGAAUAAAUAAUUGACACAAAUUACUGUGUUAAUCAUCUAAUUAUAAACUAGGAAUGAGUAAAGAAAAGUAAAUGAAAUGAAACAAAUUAUAUAUGUGAUUUAAGUGAUAUAAUCCUAAACCUAAACUCUUAUUUAUACAUAAUUAUAUAUAUAUAUAUAUAUGCGGGUCUAACGGGCCGGGCUUUUGUGAGCUGGCCGGGCUUUCUUGGGCUUAAUUGGGCCGGGCCGGACUUCAAAUAUCCAAGUCCAAGUCUAACCCGGCCCAAAACGGGCCAUCUCAAAGCCCAUAACUGGCCGGAUCGGGCUUUUUUCGAUGGGCCGGGCGGGCUCCCAUUGGCCCAUGAUCCCGCGGACCAAAUGAUGAGGCCUUAUGCUGGAUCAUUUUACUGAUAUCAUAUACCAAAUACACAUAUGAAAAUUUGAAUAUGUCCUUAAAUUAGAAAAAAAAAAUUACAUGAGUUAAAUUUCCAGAAUUAAAACUACGAAAGUGAAAAUUUCAUCAAAAUACAGGAAAAAAAAAGUGGCUUUUUGAUAAUUUAUUAUAGUUUACAUUUCAUCCAAAAUUUGAGCAAUGAAGUAUUGUAGGAGAUCCUUGUUGGGCUCGUGGGAGCGUUCCCGCGUAGACGAACGGUCAGUAAUGCUGAUUUCCGAAAAUACGCCCAUAGAAAUGAAAAUAUUCCCACCUCCCAAACGAGUCCUCGUAGAUGCUCUCUUCAAUUCCGUUUCUAACUGCCAAACUGAAACCAGCGCCCUCCAUGAUCCUUUCCUCACUCGCACACCCAACUCAACACUCUCUCUAUCUUUCUCUCUCUACUUUUGUACGGACACACACACACACACACACACUUUUUCUCUCUACGCUGCGAGAUUAAUUGAAGAAGGUCUCUCUCUCGCACUCAAAGCGUCAGCUUCUUCCUCUAAAAUCUUCUGCAUUUUCGUUUCUGUUCACUGAUUUUCUAGCUCUGUUUCAAAUUUUUUCUCCAUUUUGUAGAGAAUGGCGAAAACGCUCAAAGAUCUCCUCACCGAAACAAAGAAAGCAGAGGAAGCUCAGCCUCUCGCUCCGGUGCCGGCGGUAAUUGAGAACUCCGCAGACAAGGACGUCUCGCCGGAGAAGCUGAGCCGUUUUCCGAUACAAGAAAAGAAACUUGAAGACUCGCAGCUCUUUGUGGAAUCCGACUCGUCAUCCGGUGAUCCUCAGCCACAAGUCGCUCCGGUAUCUGAAGAAUCGCCUGAGACAAAGACGGCGGAGAAAGAUUCCGACUAUUUGAAGAAUGAAGGUUCAAAUUCAAGUGUGAAUUCAACGGAUUCCUUACUGUUUGAAAGUUCGAAUUCAUGCGAGAAAGAAAGUUCGAAUUCAUGCGAGAAAGAAAGUUCGAAUUCAUGCGAGAAAGAAAAUUCAAAUUCAUGCGAGAAAGAAAGUUCAAUCACCUCUGAUUCAAUUCCGACGGAGAUGGCGAGCUCCGAGAAGUGUAUGGAAUCUUUGGAAAAUGUCAAUGCACCGAGACUGAACGAAAUGCGUGAGAAGCAGCCGGCGAAGAAGUCGGCGAAGUUCCAGUGCGACGACAACGUUUCGGAUAGUGUGAGCGUGGCGAAGCCAGGGGUGCUGAAGCCGUGUCCAAGUGUGGGAGCGAGCCUUGAGAACUUUGAACUUUGGAAGGUUGAAGGUUCGCCGAAGAUGCGAUCCAACGGUGGUGGUAGUACGGCAGAGGGCACAGCGAUGGUGGAGGAGGCAUGGGAGAGACUCAAGAAGUCCUACGUGUACUUCAAAGGCAAGCCGGUGGGCACUCUUGCAGCUAUGGAUCCAAUGGCCGAAGAUUUGAACUACAAUCAGGUAUACCAAACGAUUCUCGUUAAUUGUUGAUUAGUUUUCAUAUUGCACAUAUCUCUUUGAUCUCUGUUGGUAUGAAUUGCAAUUUAGUUACUGGAAUUUGAGUACUUGUUAGUGUUUGUGUCUGUUUGGAGUCAUGCGUUUAAUAAUUUGUGGCACAAAUUAGCCUAUUAGUUUCUCUGCUGAUAGAUGACAUUAUACAAAUAAUAUAUCAAAGACUGGGUAGGCAAUUGAAGCGCUGUGUACAUCAAUAACCAUUUGGAUCUAGGUAAAGCACUGGUAUAUGAAUCCCAUGUUAGUGUAAAAGAGAUUUGAUAAAUUAAAUUUGAUCCAGUGCAUUCAUGUAAUUGAUAUGUUUUUGUUUGUUUGUUGUUGUUGUUGUUGUAGAUUUGAUCACUUGGUCAUAAGUAAUGUCCUUUAUAUUGCUUAAAUUGUUAGGCAUUAAUCAUAAUAAAUAGCGACUAAGAUGAGAAAUUUAUGUGUAGUGAGAGAUUUAAUUAUCAUAUGAACCUGCAGGUGUUUGUGAGAGAUUUUGUACCUACUGGUUUGGCCUGCCUGAUGCAAAAAGACCCUGAACUAGAUAUUGUAAAGAAUUUCCUCCUAAAGACCCUCCACCUCCAAGGUUGGGAGAAGAGGAUUGAUAAUUUUACACUUGGAGAAGGUGUUAUGCCUGCAAGUUUUAAGAUUCUCUUUGAUCAAUAUCGUGGGAAGGAAACUUUAGUUGCAGAUUUUGGUGGCAGCGCAAUUGGAAGAGUUGCUCCUGUCGAUUCUGGGUUCUGGUGGAUCAUUUUACUGAGAUCAUACACCAAAUGCACUCGUGACCAUACACUGGCAGAGCUUCCUGAGGUGCAGAAGGGAAUGAAACUAAUUCUCAACCUAUGCUUGUCAGAUGGCUUUGACACAUUCCCGACACUUCUCUGUGCAGAUGGCUGUAGCAUGAUUGAUAGGAGGAUGGUGAGUCUUUUCUUUUUUGUUUCUAGGAUUCUUGGCAUAGUAUAAUGAGUAUGAGUAUGGAUAAAUAAUCCAAAAGGCCAUAUGCAUUGUAUAUGACAAAACAUAUAUACAUACGUACUAAUACACACAUAUAUGUGUUGAAAGCUUGAUUUAAUAUUGCCACAACCGCCAUUUGGGCAGCUAGAUAAAGCUAGAUUGUCAUUUUUGCACUUUCAUGGCGUACAGAUUGUUUAUAAGAUAACUUGAUACCUGACUUCAAGGGAUAACAGAAUUAGAGGCUCCAAUGAAUUGAAUUUCACCAACUUUGCUUGCUUUUUGAACAGGGGAUUUAUGGUUAUCCAAUUGAGAUUCAGUCACUUUUCUACUUCGCAUUGAGGUGUGCAAGGCAACUGUUGAAGCCAGAGCUUGGUGGUAAGGAACUUCUUAAGCGGAUAGAUAAGCGCAUCACAGCUCUAAGCUUUCACAUUCAGAAGUAUUACUGGCUUGAUUUUGCACAGCUAAACAACAUAUACCGCUACAAAACCGAGGAGUAUUCCCAUACUGCAGUCAACAAGUUUAAUGUGAUUCCAGAAUCCAUCCCUGACUGGGUUUUUGAUUUCAUGCCGUUGAGAGGAGGGUAUUUGAUUGGCAAUGUUAGCCCAGCUCGGAUGGACUUCAGGUGGUUUUUAGUUGGGAAUUGUAUUGCCAUCCUUAGUUCCCUAGCAACACCUGAGCAAGCUACAGCUAUUAUGGACUUGAUUGAGGAGCGGUGGGAGGACUUGAUCGGGGAGAUGCCUCUGAAAAUUGUAUACCCAGCAUUAGAGGGACAUGAGUGGAGGACUGUCACGGGGUUUGAUCCAAAGAACACAAGAUGGAGUUAUCACAAUGGUGGCUCUUGGCCAAGUAAGUCUCAUGGAGAUGGUGUUAUCACAAUGUGCUAUUUGCAUUAGCUCUUUAUCUUUUCUGUUCUUUUUGUUCAUGUCUUGUUUUGAUUUGUCUCUGUUACAUGCUAUGUUUAUUCAUUUUAGCACCUCUAGUAGUCAUUUUCACCAUUAAAGUAUAAAAGUUUUUGCUUUAAAUAUUGGUGGCUCAAGGCUGGUUUUGUUAGUUUCCGUUGAUUUGUAAAUCUUUCAGAUAAUGUCCCCUGUGUCUAUUUGCUUGAUAUUACAAUUUGCAGUUCUAUUUUGCUACUUGAAGCCUAGUGCUAGUUCUAUUUGACUGAGACCUUUCAAUUACAUUUCAUGAACAUUAGUACCCACUUUAUAUGAGUAGGCUAGUUAUUGUUUUUAUUAAACUAAGCUACAAGUACUACUUUCGUCCAAAAAAAAACGCUACAAGUACUACUUACCUGACAUAGUAUCUUUUAUUUUAAACGUCUUUAUUUGCUGAUGGUAACCACUUUUCCAAUCGAAAUCUUCUGGUAUAUAAAUGUUGUGGGAUACAUUUCUGAAUGUAAUUUGGGAAAGCGUGCCAAAUGGUUGUGCUAUUCAUGAUAUUUUGAUGCUUGUUCACAGAAUUCUGAAUGUGUUUGUUCUAAAACAAUUGGUUAAUGUUAUUGCAUCUGUCUUGUAGCACUGCUGUGGUUGCUUACUGCAGCAUGUAUCAAGACGGGGAGGCCUCAGACUGCUAAGAGAGCAAUUGAACAGGUGGAGCAGAGGCUCUCAAAGGACGGGUGGCCAGAAUACUAUGACGGCAAGGCAGGGAGAUAUAUCGGGAAGCAAGCGAGGAAGUACCAGACUUGGAGCAUCUCCGGAUAUCUGUUAGCUAAACUGAUGAUCGAGAACCCAGCCAAUCUUUCACUCAUCUCUCUUGAAGAGGACAAGAAGAUAGCCAAGCCAAGGCUCACCCGCUCCGCUUCCUUUUGAGUCAAACCAGUGGCAGCAGCAUACAUGAUGCAUUACAGGUAUAUGAGAUUUCUCUUUACCCAUGAAUGCUGGAGGGAAACUAGCUGAUAAAACUGAUUGAGUUGCAGUUUUGUGAUUCAUUAACAUGAUUUGCUAGUAUGCUACUGAGAUAUACAGCCCCUGCAUUUUCCUUUGCAGUUUCUUAAUAUCUGGCUUUGAAUAGUAAAUGGUCUAUAAGCAUUUUGGAAAGUAAUGCAACAUGGCCAUUGUUCUGCUUACCAAUUAUUUGGCUAAGUAUUUCAAGCUUUUAUGGUGGGAAUUUGCCUCCUAUUUUCCUUUGCACUGUCAUAGGUUCUUUUGAUAGAUAUCGGUUUUGUUGAAUAAUUUCUAUACUUGGUGUACGUUAAGUGUUUCGAAGGCCAAUGGCACAAAGUUGUGAUGGCAGAUUAAGAGGGCGACAGAGUCUGCUGAAGGUUGUGUUAAAGACUUCAUCUUUGGAUAAAAAAGGCAACCUGAAAGAGAAAUUGAGAAGCUGGCCCUUAACAGUGCAAAGGAACAUCCUUAGUUAAAUAGGCAGUUAACAAUGUAUUGAGAAUGAUUCUACUGUUCUUGUUAGUUUUAUGUGGUGAUAUUUGGACCUUAUGUGGUGAUAUUUCAUGUCUUGUUUCAUUUCAUGUACUGCUGAGAUAAAACCAAAUUCAGUAUGGAUAUGAUUCUUGGGCAGUGUUUUAUAAUUUUGGAAUCCUUUGCAUUAUUUGGAAAUGGUCACAUAACGAUAGAAAUUCUUAUUAGAUCGGUUAACAUGUCCUAUUCAAAAAAUUAACGACACAUGUGAAUGUUGUCAUAGAUAUGCAAAUACAAUUAGUAUUUUUUCUCAUGUCGUACAAGAUUAUACAUAUACAAAUAGAAAAUAGAUGGUUUCAUCUAGGAAUAUCUUUUAAAGAAAUAUUAUUUUUAUCUACUACUGAGGGGAGUGAAGGUGAAGACAUGCAUCUCCAAUGUCCUCUCCUUGACCUCCUCGGUUUGUACUCAAACUUCAUAAACAAAUUCACUUGAAACACAAAACCAAGCAGAGAAAAUGGAUGAAUUUGGUCUUCAAAAUCUCUUUGCCUCAGAAUCUGACCGCAUGCCCUCACAAAAUUCCUUAAGCUGAUCAAAAUCUCUUUGCCUCAGAAGCCAUUUCUCUUGUUUUACAGGUAAAAAAUGAAAUAGAAAAGAAUACUUGUGAGCUCUGUUUCGUCAGUUAAUUUCUCUCUUCUUGCAAUUGGUUUCCUGGCUUCCACAAUUUGCUUCACUAAUGCAAUAACUUUCUCAUCCAAUGCCAAAUAUUCUGGGGCUCGACCUCCAGGGAUUACAAGAGCAUCAUAACUUGAGACAUAUAGAGCUUCAAAGUCAGCUGUUAAAGUGAAAUUAUGGCCCGGCUUCUCACUGUAUGUUUGGUCACCUUCAAAAUCAUGGACAGCAGUUGCACAGAUUUCACCAGCUUUCUUCUUGGGGCAAACUGCAUCAACAUGGCAUCCUAGAGCUUGAAGAGACUGAAAAGGCACAAUUACCUCAUAAUCUUCCAUGAAGUCCUACAAGAGUUGAGGGAGAGAGAGUGAAUGAUGCUUAGUAACUGUGAGAAAUAUAAAACUAAAGAAGUCUUUUAAAAUUCAUAAAGGAUGUACUUGUCUAUGUAUCAUGUUUAGAAGCCAUAAUUCAAACAACUUGAGAAAUAACCAGUAUGCAUGUUUGGAUUUACUUUCACAAGUUCACAAUUCACACAAAUGACCUGACAAACAAGUAUUCCAAUGGGCAACGGACCCAGGUAGGCAGACCAAUGAAUCAUACCACCAUAACAUUGAAAAAACACAUAGGAAUGAGCGAUGGAACCUUAUCACACCAGAAUGGUGGCAAAUCUGGUAAAGCCUAUUCAGGUUAUUUUCACCAUCUUUCAGAAGUAUCUGUAAAAGGGCAAAUCUUGAUACCAUAUAGACUCAAUAUUGAUCGGCAUCACAAUUUCAUAUUUCUCAUUGCACUACGAAGGAAAAUAAAACUUACCCCACAGAGAAACAGGAUCCUCCUAUCUGAACCAGUUAUGUUACCUCCUAGUGUCUUCACAAAAAGCCUAAUUAAUUCAGGAUGGCCUUCAUAUGUAGCCCCAGUAAUUAUAUUACCAUCAACAACACACACCAACAAGGUCUCGGGUUCCACCCAAUAAGCACCUGCAGCAACAAGUACAGGUCUGACAGCUGGGAAGGCUUUACACUUCCUACCUUUAACCGAGCCUGCAGCUGCUGGGACAAGUUGCCCUUGGCAAACUGAAACAAUUGGCUUUCAGGAGUCAGAAAACUUUCUCACCAAUUCUAAAACCGACGCAUCCAAAGCAAGAUAUUCAGGUGCCCAUCCUCCUGGUAUUAUUAAUCCAUCAUAUUUGUUAAAUUCAAUGUCAUCAAAUGUUGCAUUGAGUGCGAAAUUGUGACCACGUGAUCCAGAAUAAGUCUGCAACCAAAGAAAAAAAAUAGAGAAAACCAAAAAACAUAUUAAAACAAAGGGGGACCAGAAAGACAUGUAGCAUUUGAAGAUUUGUAAAUUAAACACAGAUCACGAUUCAGCAAACCUAGGUAGCCCAUUAUCAGAUUAUUUUCACUUAGAGACGAGGGCACUAAUGCAAUUUUAUUUAUUGAACAUGGUGUACGCAGUGACGUUGGAGCCAAUAAUUUGUUCACGCUGUCUUGUCCCCAGAACUCAAGCUCAAUACAGGCUGGUUCUCUAGCUCAUAAUGAAUGAGCAAGCACUCUAACAAAACUCCUAACAUGUGUUCUUGUUUGAGCUUACUUUAGUCUCGCUGUCCACACAACCUAGAACUAUAACCUACGGAUUGCUAUUUUUCAAUCUAAUAGUGGCUCUAAUCAACAAUAUAACUUAUUCAUUUUGUCUAUAAUUAAGGCUACCAACGAUUUGCUGAUGCAAAAAACUAAACUUGAAAGCGUGAUGUUCGUUCGUAAACUUGACAAACUAAUUUCCAGUCCCAACAGAUUCCAAAUUUUUGAGGAGGCAACAUAAUCCCAUAUGCGAGAAUUGUAAGCACUUCAAUCUUUGAGACAAAUUUCUUGUUUUGGGUUUACAAAUUCAAGUGAAGUAAGCAUUAAUCUUCAAUCUAAUUUAGUGUGCUUAAUUACAGAGCAUGGAAAAGACCAAUUGACAGUGCUCAAGUGAUGUAAUGAGGCUAAAGAAAACGAUUUUCAUUAAAAAUAGAAAAAAGAAAAGGCAAAAGAAGCAGAGGUGGGUGACCUGGUGAGCAGGAGAAAGUUGAUGAAUGGUUGUGCAGCAGAUAUCACCAGCUUUCUUGCCAGGACAGACGGCAUCAACGGACACUCCAUAUGCCUGCAGUGCUUGAAAUGGAACCAUCGCCUCGUAGUCUUCCACGUAGUCCCCCAAUACCAGCAACACCCUGCGUUCACCUUUCGCCAUUUUCUUGGAAUUUGAGAGAGAGAGAGAGAGAGAGAGAGAGAGAGAGAGAGAGAGAGAGGGAGAGAGAGAAUUUGGUUGGAUUAAACUCUUAGAUGGAUAAAGAAAUCGAAUAUGCUUAAAACGUAUUGCCGCGCGGCUAUGCUCUAUAAAUAGAACAUGUUAAACGGUUAGCCGAGCGGCGAUACUAUAUAAAUAGAAUAUCAAAACGUAUAGCUGCACGGCUAUACUGUUCAUAUAGAAUAUCUAACAGUAUAGCCGCUCGGCUGGACUUUAUAAAUGGAAUAUGUUAAAAAGUAUAGCCGCCCGGCUAUACUCUAUAAAUAGAAUAUGUUAAAAGUAUAGCCGCCGGGCUGGAUUUUAUAAAAAGUAUAGCCGCCCGGCUGGACUUUAUAAAUAGAAACCCCCUUCCUUGAACAUUGGUCAAUUCUCACUUUACCCCCUCAAAGUUAAAGUGACCGACUUUGCCCCAUUGACCAAUGUUUCGUGUUUCACUUAACCACUUUCCGUCAACGCCAUUCCAAUUUCCAUUAAACUAAUGACGUGGCAGGGGUAGUUUGGUCAAUUCAACUGAGCUGGGAUUCCACUUUCCGUCAACGCCAUUCCACUUUCCGUCAAAGCUUGAUAAAACCAAGCUGCAGAAAAAAACAAAGAAAACUAAAUCCACAAAACAAGAAAAAUAAACACAAUGACACAAAAAAAGGAAAACAAAAGUAACAAAGAAAACACCAAGAUGAUCGUUCUAAAUGUAACAACAUAACAUGGCCAACAAGGCAGAGGAGGCCACAACAAAGCAACUCUAACAGUAAAAUAUGAAGAAAUGUGCAGAACAAAAUCCCAUACCACUAAUGGAAGAGGAAGCAAUUAGAUGACGUAUGAUCAUCGACAAUCACAAGAGCAAGAAAUAAGAAACACAAUUGUGAAAUCAAAACCAAAUGAAAAAGAAUAAUACGUUAAUGGUCAAUGACCAACGCAAACAUGAUAGAGUGGUCGCAGACAGAAUCUCCUCAAUUUUCCUCUGAGACAAUUCCCACGGGAGCCACCACACAUAGCGAUCAUGGCAAUCUGCAAAUCGCAAAUCUACAUGUGAGUGUGGUGAUCCGACUGUGCCGGAGAUGGAGAAACAUAGAAAACAGAGAGUAAGAGAAACAAAGAAACUGAAAAACUGAAACAGCACUUCGAUUCAUCUCCGUAUAUUGACGUUCUUAAUCAAAGUUGCGAUACUAAAACGCAAAACCAAAAGGUGGAAUAGUUAUGCAGUUGGUGGAAUUGGGAAGGCAAUGGGUGGUUCCCGAGAGGAUAAGUCUGUGUCGAAACUUGGUUAUCUGAUGUUUUUCGGAAAUCUUCUUUACAAGUUAAAUCCUUGAACACACUCACUCAUAUUGUUAAUACGACUGAAUAAAUGGCCUAGGCGGGCACUAGGCGGGCUAGGCAGUCUAGGCGGUCUAGGCGGGCGCUAGGCGGUCAUGCUAUGAGAGAGAGAGAGAGAGAGAGGUCGCCGGUUAUGUCAGAGCGAGAGAGAGGGGCUAGAAGACGGCUCGUGUUCGAAUGAAUUCAAGGAGAUCCAUUUUGUCUCAUAGUCAUUAUAUUCUAUUUAUAGCUUAUAACCACACGGCUACACUUUUUGAUAUUCAUAUGCUAUAGCCGCACGGCUAUACCUUUAACGUAUUAUACAAUAUAACCGCAGCUAUACUCUUUAAUAAUUCUAUUUAUGCGCCACAGGUCAAAACGAGUAUUUUUUGAAAAAAAAUUUAAAACACCGAGUAUAUAUACAUAGUGGGAUCCUUCUUUUCUUUUAAAUUUUUUGCCCGAUUUUUGUUUAUCGAUAAAAGUAGUUUAUAACAUUAUUUAUUACUAUCUGGCUUGGAUAAGAAUCGAAUGGCAAGGUAUGGUAUGAAAGGGUAAAGGUUGCAAGAAUAUUGUGCCUCAUAAAGUAUGACAAGUUUAGACCAAUAUGCAAGAAGAGAGAAAUUAAUUGAAGAAACAGAGCUCACAAGUAUUCAUUUCUAUUUCAUUUUUUUACCCAUAAAACAAGACAAAUGGCUUCUGUGGCAAAGAGAUUUUGAGCAACUUAAGGAAUUUUGUGAGGGCAUGUGGUCAGAUUCUAAGGCAAAGAGAUUUUGAAGACCAAACUCAUCCAUUUUCUCUGCUUGGUAUUGUGUUUCAAGUGAAUUUGUUUAUGAAGUCUGUACAAACAGAGGAGGUCAAGGAGAGGACAUUGGAGAUGUAUGUCUUUACCUUCACUCCCCUCAGUAGUAGAUAAAAAGAAUAUUUCUUUAAAAGAUAUUCCUAGUUGAAACCAUCUAUUUUCUAUUUUUAUAUGUAUAAUCUCGUACCGCAUGAGAAAAAUACUAAUUGAUAAUUGUAUUUGCAUAUCUAUGACAACAUUCACAUGUGUCGCUAAUUUUUCGAAUAGGACCAUCUGUUAACCGAUCUAAUAAGAAUUUCUAUCAUUAUGUGACAAUUUCCAAAUAAUGCAAAGGAUUCCAAAAUUAUAAAACACUGCUCAAAUGCCUAAGAAUCAUAUCCAUACUGAAUUUGGUUUUAUCUCAGCUGCAAGGUGAAGAUCAUACAUGAAAUGAACAAAACAUGAAAUAUCACCACAUAAAACUAACAAGAACAGGAGAAUCAUUCUCAAUACAUUGUUAACUGCCUAUUUAACUAAGGACGUUCUUUUUCUUUUUUUUUCCAAAAAAAAAGACUAAUGAUAUUCCUUUGCACUGUUAAGGGCCAGCUUCUCAAUUUCUCUUUCAGGUUGCCUUUUUGAUCCAAAGACGAAGUCUUUCACACAACCUUCAGCAGACUCCCUCUUAAUCUGCCAUCACAACUUUGUGCCAUUAGCUUUCCAAACACUCAACGUACACCAAGUAUAGAAAUUAUUCAACAAAACCGAUAUCUAUCAAAAAAACCUAUGACAAUCGCAAAUUACCAAUGAAGAAAUUGAAAGUUUUCUAAGACAGAGGAAAAAGGAACAUGAACGCAGAGAAGAAUCACAGCUCAGCUAAAGGCAUCCUGCCUUAUAAUAUAGAUGGUGAGACAAAACAUGCUUUACGUUAAACAAUCUAGUCUUGAACUACCUAAUAAUACCUCAGCACUAAUCUUAGCCAUAAUCUGCUUCAAAGGCCAAGAUGCUAUCCUUACAGACAGAAACAAAUUUUUAAAAAAGACAAUCAACAACACCUCUAGCAGGCAAGGUACUUUGCAAUAACAAACUCCUUUCAUGUCUGCACCUAUUUCUAAAUUCUGACUCGGAAAAUUUGUCACUAUUCCAUUGAGCAUCAUAUAGUUCUAGUUUCAUGAACACUCCUACAAGCAGUCUACUACACAAACUGGUUCACGUUAUCAUUUUGAUAAUGAGAUAUGGCAACAGGAGAGACGUCGUAUAACAAAAUCAGUUCAAAUCACAUAACCCAAAUUUGGUCCACAACUAGCAACUGAAGUUCAAGCCCAAAAUCUAAAGACCCCAAAAUUUUGAACUAAAAGUGCAAACAAGAAGAGAAAAUUGUAACCCCAAGACUAAUUUUCAUUUUCUCCCUACCAUUUCUUAACAGGAUCCAGUAGUAAUUUUACAGAAAGAAAUUGCCCGAAGAACAAAGAACAUACAGGGUCCAGAGCAUUGGGCCCAAAGCCAUAAUCAGCAGCCAAAGAGUAAAAGUACAGACUUUGACACUAGUUCAAAUCUGAACUUGAGGGUCUGAGGUCUUUUAAGAGUCAUUAUAUAUAGUUAUUUUUGCCCCUGUCUAUAUAUUGAGAGGAAAACAAAUCUGAACUUGUCUUAACCACUUGCGCCAUCACACGAAAACCUAAAGUCAUUAUGCUACUUCCCUUCCCUACAUGAAAAAUCACGUAAUGCUCUCCUAAACUGCUAUCUCAAAAUCCAACAUUAGGCUCUCAAUAUAAUCUUAACAAAAUUCAAGAGCAUAUUUUCUACUGAUUUACGACAAUUGAAAGGUGCCCUCAUACAACAAUUGUCAAGAGCAUGUUCAAACAAAUUAAAACCCCUACAUUAUCUAGCGUUUCAAUCAAAAUUCAAAAUUGAAAAAUUGCAAAAGCUAUGAAUAAUUGAAUACUAAAAUUUACAAUGAAUGAACAGAGGCAACAGACCUUGACGACAAGGGGAGAGAGAGAAUGCGUUUGGAUGCUGGAGAGCGAGAACUGAAAAGUCGGCCUAGGCUGUGGCUAGGCGGGCGCAAGGCGGCUAGGAGGCUAGGCGGUGGCUAGGAAGGCGCAAGGCAGCUAGGCGGUGGCUAGGCGGGUUGGGUCUUUUUUCGGGGCCCAACCCGGAGGACGAAGCAGUGACUGGGAGAGAAAGUUCCGUCCUCUGCGAGUGCAAGCUUCGUGUUCGUUGGAAUAUAUUUAAAGAGUAUAGCCGGUCGGCUGUACUUUUAAAAUAUUCGAAUGUAAUUAGAAAGUAUAGCCGUGCGGCUUCAGUUUUGCUUUGUCCAGCGCGUGCAGCAUCUGCUAUGAGAGCUCUUUGCUUUAAACUCAAGGAAGGAGAAAGGACGCUCUGAUACCACUUGAUGCAUCAAGUAUGAACUCGCAGAGCUUGUUACUAACUAUUGUCCAAUUGAAUUGGACUGGUCCUGUGAGUUGAAAUAGUACCAAUAACAACACACUUUGAGAUACUAUAGUUUUUUUAGUGGGCAAUUCAAAUUUGAGGCAGGUGUUUUCUUAUAUUUUAUUUUACAGGUUGUCCAUCCUUGGAGACCUGUGUUUUAAACUACCCAACAAUGCUAGGCACAUAUAAAAUAAUGUACCUAAUUACUAGGUACAUAUAACAUAAUGUACCUAACACAUAAGUAGUAUACUCUACCUGAUAAACAUGUAGAUUUUAGAUAAAAUGUGUGGAUUUGAGUGAUACAACCAAUAAUUGUAAAACGCCACAACAAAAACAUGGGAAAAAUAGUAAAAUCUGGAAGAUAAUUAACUAUCAAGAAACAAAGGAAUCGAAAAUGAUGUGGGGGGGAACACAAAACCCGCAUGUGUUAAUGGUUAAUUGCAUCUUAAUUAAAGAUAUUAGGUGGGAAUGAACUUUAUAGCAACAAAAACAUGAAGACAAUGAGAGUAAAUUAGUGAGGAAUUGUAUUAUCAAAGAAGAAAACAUACAAACAAAAUCAGUGAAUAACAAAAGCUAUGGCAAAUAGUAAAAGAAUAUUUAUGUACCUUAUGUAUUGGUUGCCAUAAUGCAAGAAUACAAAGCUACAACAUAAAGAAAGCCAACAUUCAUAUAGGAGCAUGACUGAAAUAUAAUAGAUAUUUCAAAAAUUAUAGGAGACGUGAUUUGUUCAAAAAUAUGGAUGUAUUAUUGAAAAAUACGUACGUACGUGUAUAAUAGAAUAUUAAAAUAGGGAAAAUAAAGACUCGGGUAAUGGCUUGUGGAUAGUGUUAUAAACCACUCUUAUCGAUAAACGAAAAUCACAGAAAAAAUUUAAAAGAAAAAAAGGAUCCUACUAUAUAUAUUAAUUUUUUUUUAAAAAUAGAAUAUCUAACUGUAUAGCCGUGCAGCUAUACGCUAUAAAUACAAUAUAAUGACUACGAGAUAGAAUGGAUCGCCUCGAAUUCAUUCGAAGACGACCGUCUUCUAGCCCCUCUCUCUCGUUCAGAUAACCGGCAACCUCUCUUCUUCAAUCCUCAUCUCUCUCUCUUUCUCUCUCAUAGCACCAUCGUCAUCUCGUCCCUGACCUUGGAGAUUCCAAAAUGGCUUUUUCUUUUUCCUAGGGGCAAGCGCCUUCCUAGACCGCCUAGCAACCAUCUAGACCGCCUAGGGCCCGCCUAGUGACCGCCUAGCAACCGCCUAGACUGCCUAGCCCGCCUAGCCCCAGCCUUGCCCGCCUAGCCCCAGCCUUGCCCGCCUAGGCCAUUUAUUUAUUUUCCUAAGCCUAGGCCAUUUAUUCAGUAAUGUUAACAAUAUGAGUGAGUGUGUUCAAGGAUUUAACUUGUAAAGAAGAUUUUCGAACAACAACAGAUAACCCAGAGAAGUUUCAUGGAGUUAUCCCAAUGGUGGCUGUUGGCCAAGUAAGUCUCAUGGAGAUGGUGUUAUCACAAUGUGCUAUUUGCAUUAGCUCUUUAUCUUUUCUGUUCUUUCUGUUCACGUCUUGUUUUCAUUUGUCUCUGUUACGUGCUAUGUUUAUUUUUCUACUUGAAGCCUAGUGCUAGUUCUAUUUGACUGAGACCUUUCACUUACAUUUCAUGAACAUUAGUACCCACUUUAUAUGAGUAGACAUAGUAUCUUUUAUUCUAAACAUCUUUAUUUGCUGAUUGUAACCACUUUUCCAAUCGAAUCUUCUGGUAUAUAAAUGUUGUGGGAUACAUUUCUGAAUGUAAUUUGGGAAAGUGUGCCAAAUGGUUGUGCUAUUCAUGAUAUUUUGAUGGUUGUUCACAGAAUUCUGAAUGUGUUUGUUAAAAAACAAUUGGUUAAUGUUGUUGCAUCCUGUCUUGUAGCACUGCUGUGGUUGCUUACUGCAGCAUGUAUCAAGACGGGGGAGGCCUCAGACUGCUAAGAGAGCAAUUGAACAGGUGAAGCAGCGGCUCUCAAAAGACGAGUGGCCAGAAUACUAUGAUGGCAAGGCAGGGAGAUAUAUCGGGAAGCAAGCGAGGAAGUACCAGACUUGGAGCAUCUCAGGAUAUCUGGUAGCUAAACUGAUGAUCGAGAACCCAGCCAAUCUUUCACUAAUCUCGCUUGAAGAGGACAAGAAGAUAGCCAAGCCAAGGCUCACCCGCUCCGCUUCCUUUUGAGUCAAACCAGUGGCAGCAGCAUACAUGAUGCAUUACAGGUAUAUGAGAUUUCUCUUUACCCAUGAAUGCUGGACGGAAACUAGCUGAUUAAACUGAUAGAGUUGCAGUUUUGUGAUUCAUUAACAUGAUUUGCUAGUAUGGUACUGAGAUAUACAGCCCCUGCAUUUUCCUUUUCAGUUUCUUAAUAUCUGGUUUUGAAUAGUAAAUGGUCUAUAGGCAUUUUGGAAAGUAAUGCAACAUGGCCAUUGUUCUGCUUACCAACUAUUUGGCUAAGUAUUUCAAGCUUUUAUGGUGGGAAUUUGGCUCCUAUUUUCCUGCCAAAUUCAGUUUGAUAGGUGUGCAAAUAUUUUUCUUUGUGUUGUUGAUAAAAUUAUUUUUGCAAAUGUGCCAAAUUGUGAUUUGGGGAAAUAAGUAAUGUGGGAAACAAUAUAUAUUCAAAAGGCUUGUAGCUCAAGUGGUUAAGACCAGUUCAGAUUUGUUUUCCUCUCAAUAUAUAGACAGGGCCAAAAAUAACUACGUAUAAUGACUCUUAAAAGACCUCGACCCUCGAGUUCAGAUUUGAACAAGUGUCAAAGUCUGUACUUUUACACUUUGGCUGCUGAUUAUGGCUUUCAGCCCAAUGCUCUCGACCCUGUAUGUUCUUUGUUCUUCAGGUGAUUUCUUUCUGGAAGGGUGAAAAUGAAAAUUAGUUUUGGGGUUACAAUUUUCUCUUCUUGUUUGCACUUUUAGUUCAAAAUUUUGGGGUCUUUAGAUUUUGGGCUUGAACUUGAGUUGCUAGUUGUGGACCAAAUUUGGGUUAUGUGAUUUGAACUGAUUUUGUUAUACGACGUCUCUUCUGUUGCCAUAUCUCAUUAUCAAAAUGAUAAUGUGAACCAGUUUGUGUAGUGGACUGCUUGUAGGAGUGUUCAUGAAACUAGAACUAUAUGAUGCUCAAUGGAGUAGUGACAAAUUUUCCGAGAUAGAAUUUAGAAAUAGGUGCAGACAUGAAAGGAGUUCGUUAUUGCAAUGUACCUUGCCUGCUAGAGGUGCUGUUGAUUGUCUUUUUUAAAAAUUUGUUGUUUCUGUCUGUAAGGAUAGCAUCUUGGCCUUUGAAACAGAUUAUGGCUAAGAUUAGUGCUGAGGUAUUAUUAGGUAGUUAAAGACUAGAUUGUUUAACGUAAAGCAUGUUUUGUCUCACCAUCUAUAUUAUAAGGCAGGAUGCCUUUAGCUGAGCUGUGAUUCUUCUCUGUGUUCAUGUUCAGGUUCUUUUGAUAGAUAUCGGUUUUGUUGAAUAAUUUCUGUACUUGGUGUACGUUAAGUGUUUCGAGGGCUAAUGGCACAAAGUUGUGAUGGCAGAUUCAGAGGGCGACAGAGUCUGCGGAAGGUUGUGUGAAAGACUUCAUCUUUGGAUCAAAAAGGCAACCUGAAAGAGAAAUUGAGAAGCUGGCCCUUAACAGUGCAAAGGAAUAUCAUUAGUCUUUUUUUUGAAAAAAAAAAAUUUGAACAUCCUUAGUUAAAUAGGCAGUUAACAAUGUAUUGAGAAUGAUUCUACUGUUCUUGUUAGUUUUAUGUGGUGAUAUUUGGACCUUAUGUGGUGAUAGUUCAUGUUUUGUUUCAUUUCAUGUAUGAUCUUCACUUUCUGCUGAGAUAAAACCAAAUUCAGUAUGGAUAUGAUUCUUGGGCAUUUGAGCAGUGUUUUAUAAUUUUGGAAUCCUUUGCAUUAUUUGGAAAUGGUCACAUAACGAUAGAAAUUCUUAUUAGAUCGGUUAACAGAUAGUUCUAUUCAAAAAAUUAACGACACAUGUGAAUGUUGUCAUAGAUAUUCAAAUACAAUUAGUGAAUAAUUAGUAUUAAAUAUUUUAAUUGACUUCAUGAAUUAUAUUACUUAAUAAAUAGUAAUUAAAAUUUUCUAUUUUUUUCUUUAACAAAAUAUCUAAACACUAAUAAUUGACAAAGUAAAUAAUAUAACUAAAACAUAACUACUAAUUAAAGUAAUUAAAAAAGAGAAAUCCAUAUUAUGCUACUUAAGGGGUAUCGCCGCAUGGCUAUACGUUUAAGAUAUAUGGGGUAGAGCCGCGCGGCUAUACUUGUACUAUAUUAUAUUUUUGGAGUAUAGCCGAAAAAAAUUCUACUUCGGGGUAUAGCCGCGCGGCUAUACGGUGAAGAUAUUCUAUUUUUGGAGUAUAGCCGCCCGGCUGGACUCUAAAAAUAUUCUAUUUUGGAGUAUAGCCACACGGCUAUACGUUUAAAAUAUUCCAUUUUUGGAGUAUAAGUAUAGCCGUGCGGCUAGAUGUUUAAAAUAUUAUAUUUAUAGACUCUUCAAAUAUAUUUCCACAUUACACCAACAAUAAAAAUAUGGAUUUCUCUGUAGGCUUAUAUUUUGAGGUGCCUUUUGUGAAAAUCCCACAUCGAAAAUCCACACUCCAAUAAAGGUGUUUAUAAACAAAGCCCCUGAUAUGCAUAAGAAUAUGUAUAGUUAUUGCAUUUGCUAUAAUAUACCUUACUGGUGACUUACAUAAGCACCUGAUAUGCAUGAUUAUCAAGAUCAAGCAUCAUUGUGUUACAUAAGCACUUGGGAUUUUAUUUUGUUGCAAAUUUAGAAAACCUGCCUUCAUUUUAGUGGAGUUUAUUUCGCCAGUGUAUGUUCCCAAUCAAAUGUUAUUACGAAGCGUCAAAAUACAGAUGAUUUUUCCACAUUCCAGUUUUCUUUUUCCUUGCAAAAGGAGUUGAAUCUAAAAUCUACAAAAAUGACCUCAUGUAAUACUACUUGAGCUGCAUCAUCAUUUGGUUUGCUAAUGUACUUUUUUUUAUUAGAAGAUGGUGUCUUGCAUUUCCCUUUGAAGAGGAACUAGGAAAUAUUGCAAGCGUUAUUGCUGUCACCAAAAUGGACUAAAACCCUUCAGUUUGGGACAGUGAUACUUGUCAUGCAUGGCUUUGGUGCAAUAGUUUCUUAGGAAGAAGCCUAUGAUCUUAAAGACCUGAAUAUUCAUACCUUACCUAGUUGGAAAAAGAACAGGCUUCAUUUGUUUUGGUCAUUGGUGUACACAUAUGGUUUCAUACUUCUAGAAUGUUUAGAGAUGAUGGGAAAAUUCUUGCAUACAAUCAGCUUAUGUAUACACUGUCACUCUCACAUUCAACAUCUCAAAUGUACUAUACACCCAUAUAUAUGCAAAACUUUCACUUGAGGAGGAUAUCUUUGUGGAUCGACCAAAAUAUAAGCCAACUCUGUUUACCCUAGUUUCCGAAUUUUUUUCGUUCUUUACUGAGUGGCAAAAGUAAAGCAAUGCAAAUCUACUUUAGCUACUGUUGAAAAUACCGAUGAUAGAGAAAAAGGGAAUUAAAGACAGGAUUGUUCCGCAAUAAGAUACGAGGAUGAACUCAUAACAUUUUCUGUGUUCGGACAAAAAUGCUGCAGGUUAAAAACCCAUGUAUGCAUACCAAACAGGAGUUUCUAAUCCCGGUAUAUCGUAUAUAGGAAUCUGUAUUGUUGUUGCAGUUGCUAUAAUGGACCUCAUUGGUGACUUAAUGUCUGAUGUGCAUGAUUUCCAAGUUCAAGCAUCGUUGUUUUCGAUUUCCUCAAUUUAAUAACCAUUUAUCUGAAUUUAGGAUUUUUGUUGCAAAUUUAGAAGGAAAAAAAAAGUUAUUUUCUCAUGUAAAUGUACCCAGAAUACCAAUAAAAUGUUAUUGCAAAGUUACAAGCCAAUGCCACUUGAUCUGAACUCUAAAAAAAGAUAUCUCUCGUCCCAAUAUUACUUGACCUAAAAUUUAUGGGCAAAUUAGAAACUUGUAUUUUGAUAAUGGAAAGCCACAAAAAAUCUUGAGUUUCUUUUGGAAGAGGAACUAGGAAAUAUGCAACAAAUUUCCCACUCAUGGCAGCACAGUUGUUCUUAAAUGGCCAGGAAGGAAGAAAAGAUUUAAUUGGAAGUAUAUUGGACCACCAACAUGCUGACCCUAUCUUGACACUGUUUUAUGGACUAACACUCUCCACAAUCAUCUCAUCGCGUGAACAACACAUAACCGGUAAAUAUGAAAGGUGAAGCGUAUACCAUCACCCUACCCCGGGAUAAGAUGCAAAAGAAAUCAAAUCCACUCCAAUAGUUUGCCAGCUUUUACAAUCUUAGUGCAUGUAUUUCAACUUUAGCAGUUGGUUUCGCAUAAGUUUUGUUGCAUUGAUAAAUUAGCAAGUUGAUCAAAGUCACGUUGAACUUAGAUUAGAGGUUCUCAAAGUCUAAAUUCAGCUUAAAUCGACUCUUAUAUCAAAUCAUCCUCAUUACGUGUAGAAUCGCCUGCUCUUGGACUCAUUAUAGUUGUAGCAACAUCACUCUAAGGCCGGAGUCAUAGAUUUGUUGGGCAUGAUAAAUAAGUAGGGAUAAGCAACUCGGCCAAUUUAUGAUUCAUGUUGGAUUGAUUUAAGCAUCAACCUAAUAGCAUAAUCGAACUAAACAAAUCUAUUAAUUCAAUUCAGUUUUCAAACUAGUAUGAUAGGAUAAAAUUAUACACCAAUCUUAACCAAAAACAAAAUACCGAUAAACCCAAUCAAGUUCAUUUUGUUAUCCUUUUCAAGUUGCAGUGCAACAAAUAAAAGAUAAAUCGGUAAAAACUAGUAAUAACUCUGAAAAAGUAAAAAAUUAAACGGGGAUAAUAAAGACUCGGUAAAUAUAUCAUAUAUGACAUAUGAUAUUACUAGUUUGAGGUCCACAAAUUAUAAUUUCCCUGUUACAUAUAGUAGAUAUGCACCUUAAUUAAUACAAAUAUAUUAGUAAUAAACACAAAUAAAUCACAUAUGACAAUCUUAACUACCAUUGAGGUGCUUAAUGUCAUCUAUGAGAACUCAUGCAGUUUCAGAGCUGGUAAGGAGGGCAUUUGUUAAAACUGAUUUGGAGACUAUAAUCUUUCUGACUGAUAUCAUAAAUUCCCAAUUCUUUUAGGCAAAGUGUUAAGACAAACAUAAGAGCAACACAACCAUGUACAGGAUCUGUUCUUGAUUGCCGCUUUCGCUUAUACGUUAGCAACACUUUGCUUCCCGACAUUUAAGCUUUCAAAAAGAAAUCUUGCUGCAAUUCCAAACACUUGGACCGCAUUUUUCACAUGAAAUUUGUUUUUGUUCCACUAUGUUCAGUCUCAUUUCAACACAGAAAAACCUGCAUAUGUUAAGGAAGAAUAUCCAAUUAACUAAACAGCAAGUCAUGACUCAUAUAGUUAGUACAGUUAUGAGUAGCAACAAUCUGAAAUAGUGACUGAAAAGUACUUGUGUCAAAGUGCACUGAACAUGUGUGAAAAUGUUAAAAAGCCCUUGCUCGAGUAUCAAGCUGAAAUAAUUUUGAUAGAUAUGAUUUGUCUGAUGGUCUGAUCUUAUCCCUUCUGAGGUUAUAGGAAUUUUUCAUAGGAAGAACCUACAAACCGCAUCAGGGGAUUCUCAAAAAAAAACUUUAAAAUUUAUCUCAUUAUUAACUUAACCACCAUAAAUGUCAUUUACCCUUAAAAACCCCACCUAAACUUCCCCUUAAAUAAAAAUUCAGCUUCUCUUGAAAUACAGGAACUCCAUAAAACAGUCAAGUUACAUGAUGGGUGAAAGAUUAAUCCAUGCGCGGUAAAAUCUUGGAUAUCCAAGAGGAUCAAAUCUAUCAAAAGCUUCCUGUCAUCAACGCUUACAGCAAAGGAUUUCUACACAGAUUCUGUGAUUGUUAUUAUAGAUCAUCUUGCAAGUAUAGCAAGAGAAAAUCAAUAGCCCAAGUUUCAGUUGUCCUAUCGGAGUGGCUAUUAAUGUCAUCUGUGAGAACUCAUGCAGUUUUAGAGCUGGUAAGGAGGGCAUCUGUUAAAAUUGAUCUGGAGACUCUAUAAUCUUUUUGACUGAUAUCAUAAAUGAUCAAUUCUUUUAGUAGCUAGUUUUAUGGGGCAAAGUGUUAGACACGCAUUAGAGCAACACAACCAUGUAGCGGGAAUGAAAAUAUUAAUAUGGAUGGUAGGAGUGACUUCUAAAGGACAAUUAAAAAUCAAUACAAAAGAAAAACACUGGGAGUGAACCCUGUUAGUGAUAAGUUAACAGAAGUUAAUGUGAUAGGAACAUGUACAACAUAGACCACCAAAUGUACCUAUAACCGAAGGAAGACUAGUUAAAGAUAAAUAAGGGCAUGUACGAUGGUGAGGCUUAGCUAUCAACAUCCCUAAGGAAAGGACAAUCACUCAUUAUGUCAGACACCUGGCCAGGCUUGAGGCAUGCAUGGUUCUCCCAAUACGAUUGGCCUUUUUAUUUUCUGCCUGCAAUGUAGGCGAAAUCAAAUAGAUCUCUAGAUAAUGAUCCACUGUCAAUCACUCUUGGUCUUCACCUCUUAAGUUCCCAGAUUUUCUUCUCACUUGGUAGUUGGAAUUUAGAGCGCUAUUUUCUGUUCACAAAUACUAUGACUGUCCCCCCACAGUGCAUUUCUAUUAUCUGUGCUAUGUCCACAAACUCAAAAUAAGAAGUCAACUUCAGAGUUGAGACUUUUAUAAUGAUGCUUCAUCUUAGACUCCGCGCAAAUUUUAUACAGAGGGAGCAGGUCACAAGUAAGGAGUAAAAUGCACUCAUCAAACCUAGAUAAUUAUUUAUGCAUUUCGUAGCUCCUCUAUACCAACUGUACCAACUUCAUGAACUUCAAUUACUUGUGGUCCCACACUCCCCUUGUGAAGUAUUUCCGAUGAAACCUUUCCUUGAGGCUUAUCAUUAUCAUAUGUACUCAUAAAAACUGCCUGGUGUCCCAUCCAGCCUAAAAUACUGUUGCACUAGAUUAGCUAGGCUCUGUAUGACCUUAUAAAGCCUUUCAAGAACUUCAGGUGUUGCACCAUAACACGAAAACCUAAAGUCAUUAUGCUACUUCCCUUCCCUACAUGAAAAUUCACGUAAUGCUCUCCUAAACUGCAAUCUCAAAAUCCAACAUUAGGCUCUCAAUAUAAUCUUAACAAAAUUCAAGAGCGCAUUUUCUACUGAUUUACGACAAUUGACAGGUGCCCUCAUACAACAAUUGUCAAGAGCAUGUUUAAAAAAUUAAAACCAAUACAUUAUCCAGCGUUUCAAUCAAAAUUCAAAAUUGAAAAAUUGAAAAAGCUAUGAACUAUUGAAUACUAAAAUUUACAAUGAAUGAACAGAGGCAACAGACCUUGACGACAAGGGGAGAGAGAGAAUGCGUUUGGAUGCUGAAAAGCGAGAACUGAAAAGUCGGCCUAGGCGGUAGCUAGGCGGUAGCUAGGCGGCUAGGCGGAUAGGCGGUGGCUGGGCGGGUGCUAGGCGGCUAGGCGGGUUGGGUCUUUUUUCGGUGCCGAACCCGGAGGACGAAGCAGUGACUGGGAGAGAAAGUUCCGUCCUCUGCGAGUGCAAGCUUCAUAUUCGUUGGAAUAUAUUUAAGGGAGCUUCACUAAUAUACUCAAAAUGGGAGCUAAAAUUAUAAAAAAACCCUACAUGGAAUGCGCUUUAGAAAUACACCCAAAAUCCAUUUACUAUAUAAAAAAUUAGUGUUGAAGUUCCUAUAAAUUACAGGACUGCCACUGAUGCCCAACAGAAAAAAAAAAAAAAAAAAAAAAAAACUCAAAAAACACCUAAAACAAGCCCAGCCCAAUUUUAUAAAAACACCCAAACUUUUUUUUUUUUUUUUUUUGGUUACAAAAAGUCCAAACAUUUUAUUACAACAUAAAACUGUCUCGAAAACCGUAACUUCAAGCAUGCAUCUUCAUUAAACCAUCUCUGCAAAACGUCUCUUCAUUUCACCGUCUUCAUCAUUUAUGCAAACUGAAACUCCAUAACUACCACCAAACUUGAUCUACUUUCAAAAACCAACACCACACACUAACCUCCACCUACAAAACAAAGACAAAAUUUCAGAGAACAAUUUCAACAAGAAAAGGCUUCAGAGGUAAGACAUUUAAAAACCAAACCUUUAGUAUAAUGUUGACUAAUUGCUAUAAAGUUCCAGUCUAUGGUAAUAACAGUAUUUUAGAUUCGAAUCCAAGACAAAAUCUUGAAACUAUAUUGGAUUUUCACUAUUGGACUAACUGCAUAUGACUAUAAAAUAGUCAGUUUUCAGCAACUCAAAAAAGAAAGAGAUAUUUAGUCAAAUACAGAUUCUUAACACUUUACUGUCAUGUUGAUUAAUUGUUGUAAAGUUCCAGUAUAAGGUAAUAACAUUGCUUGUUUCCUAUGGAAUCCUAUUUCUAAUGCAUGUCGACCACUAUAAAGUUCCAGUCUAAGGUAAUAACACUCUUAGUUUCCUAUGAAAUCCUAUUUUUAAUGCAUAUCUACCACUGUAAAGUUUCAAUCUAGGGUAAUAACAGUAUUUUAGAUUCGAAUCUAGGACAAAAUCUUGAAACUAUAUUGGAUUUUCAUUAUUGAACUGAGUGCAUAGGACUAUAAAAUGGUCGGCUUUCAGCAACUCAAAAAAGAAAGAAAUAUUUAGUCAUAUACCCAUUGUUAACAUUGCUAGUUUACUUUCAUGUUGAUUAAUGGCUGUAAAGUUCCAGUAUGGGGUAAUAACACUGAUCGUUUCCUUUGAAAUCCAAUUUCGAAUGCAUGUCUACCACCGUAAAGUUCCAGUAUAGGGUAAUAACACUACUUGUUUCCAAUGAAAUCCUAUUUUGAAUGCAUGUCUACCACUAUAAAGUUCCAAUAUGGGGUAAUAACACUGCUUGUUUCCUAUGAAAUUCAAUUUCUAAUGCAUGUCUACCAUUGUAAAGUUCCAGUAUAGGGUAAUAACACUACUAGAUUCUUCUGAAAUCCUAUUUAUAAUGCAUGUCUACUCCUUAUAAAGUUCCAGUAUAGGGUAAUAACACUGCUAGAUUCAUCUAAAAUUCUAUUUCUAAUGCAUGUCUACUCCUUGUAAAGUUCCAGUAUAGGGUAAUAACACUUCUAGUUUCAUAUAAAAUCCUAUUUCUAAUGCAUGUCUACCACGGUAAAGUUCCAGUAUAAAGUAAUAACACUGCUUGUUUUCUAUGAAAUCCUAUUUCUAAUUCAUGUAUGUAAAGUUCCAAUAUAAGGUAAUAACAUUGCUACCUAACAACAAAUUAUAGUCGACUCAAAAAUCAAUAGUGCAUAAACAGAAAAAACACGAAUAUACUCAGAUUCAAUUGAAAAAAAAUACCUCAAUUAAUAUGAUAACCGAAUCAAAUAUCACAAAUUUGUAACCACAACUCAAACCAAACACAAAAGCAAAUCCACAACCAAACAAAAUCUGAAAUCAAUCCAAAUUAUAAACAUAAAGAAAUUAAAAUCACAAUUUAAAACUCAAACGAAUAUCUAAAUACAAAUUAGAACGAAAUCAGAAAAUCCAAUAGCUUAUCUCCAAAUCGACAAUAACAAAAAUAAACAUAUAAAAUCAAGAAGAAUGAGAUCUACGUUUCAAAUUUAAACUCCAAAACUACAAAAAUUAUGAUAACUUAACCAGCAACUUAAUUAAUUGAACAUGAAAUCACCCAAAUCAAACUACAAUAAAAUCAAAUAUGAAUUCAAAUUAAAAAAAAAUCAAAUACCUCAAAAUCGAAGAUCGCAGAUUGAAUAGGAUUUUCUACUAAGCCAAGUCACCAAUGCACCAUGAGCCAUUUCAUCCCCUGAAUCCACCAAGUCAUUGUUCAUUUGCUCAUGUUGCAAAUCCUCCAAAUUUUUCACAGAUCCAACAUCUAAUGGAUUGCCAGUGCCAGUGCGUCUGACUUUAGCUUUUGUCGUGCCAUUUGGACUAACAUGCUUGAAGGCAGAGCCUUCGUCAACUCCAUCUUCCAAAGCAUUACUGCUUGAUGUUCCCUGAAUUGAGAUGGCUACAAGUUUUGAUCCACGGGCUUGGAAAGGGGUCUCUUAGUUUUCCUAUAUCCAAAAGAUGAAUUAAGUAGAAUUAGAAGAAAUAGUUACCUUACACAAUCAGAAUCCUAUGACGUCAUCAUUCUUAUUCUUUUUUAGAGAGAGAUAUAUAUAUAUAUAUAUUUGAGAACAGAGCUUAGGAUUUCAUCGUCAAAACUGAGGUGGAAGAACAAAAACUGAAAAUUGGGGUUGAAGAUGAAGAUGAGAGACUGGAGGUGGUGAGUUCUGAUAUGGUGUUUAUUAGGAAUUCCAAUUUUAUGUUAAAAGGGUAAUAAAGGUAUUUCAUCUUAUAAUUAAAUUAAAAAAUAUACAGCUGUUGAUUUUUGGGUUUAUUUUGGGUGUGUUUAUAUACAUUAAAUAGUAUAGGGUAUUUUUAUAGUUUUAUGCCUAGAAAUGGGUAUUUAACUAAUUUUCUAUAUAUUUAAAGCGUAUAGCCGCUCGGCUGUAAUUUUAAAAUAUUCGAAUGUAAUUAGAAAGUAUAGCCGUGCGGCAUCAUUUUUGCUUUGUCCAGGGCACGUGCAGCAUCUGCUAUGAGAGCUCUUCGCUUUAAACUCAAGGAAGGAUGCAAAAUGCAGAAAGGACGCUCUGAUACCACUUGAUGCAGUUCAAGUAUGAACUCGCAGAGCUUGUUACUAUUUUUUUCCCUUGUGGAUUUCCUUACUACUCUUCAACUUGUUUCUUACUUGUUUUGCACUUCAAAGUACGCUGAUAAUCUCGUUGGCUAAAAAUGUAUGUGAAUAAUUUCACAAUCUACUGUCUACUAGAUCCCUCCACUAGUUUAUGAAUCUUCGAGGUAAUUUAUUUCAUGAAAAAGUAAACUAAAGUCAUAAUUUCAUUUAAUAUGGAGAAAGAGUAUGCCUUCUGCCAUUACUCAGACUAUUUUUUUUUUUUUAAUUUCUUGCUGAAGAUAUGAUAGAGAUUCAUGGUCAUUUCAGAAUCCUCAUGGUGGUUUUGGAUUAUUAAGCAUAUCUUAUUACAUGGGCUUCUUCUUGUUCUAGGAAUAGUAUGCUGAUAAUAUUGCAGAAGCCUCAGGAAUAUGAUUUGAUGUGGUAGAAAUAGACCAGCUUGACCAAAUGAGAAUACAGUAUGCUGAUUAUUUGCCGAUAUGCUCUACGUUUUACUUGUUUGGUUGGCAGAUUGGGGACCGAAGGUUGAUGUUGUUGUUUUUUGUUUUCUUGACCUUGUUUCAAAUUAUGAACCCCCAGAUUCACUUGCGGAGUGGCUUGAAGCUGGUGAACAGCCUGUCUAUAUUGGAUUUGAUAGCCUUGUGAGUUUGUUGCAGCUUUCUCUAUUCAUGUUUAAUAUUCUUUGCCCAGUUCUAUCCCAGAGUAGCUCUGUUUGUCCUUACCCUAAAAAAAUUACUUGUUCCUUCCCAAUUAAAACAAUCAACCAAAGCCACAAUCUCCAAAGAGUGACCACCUUCAUGUUGGUCCCCAACGAAUCGACAGAUGACAGAUGACAAAUCGACCCUUUGGUUGUUCAGUUGUUCAAUAUCUAAUUUGACUGAGGCAUGUCUAAAACAUGCAGAGUAUACCUCUGAAUUGCAUAGUUAAGGUUACUUGAUUGUGCAUUUGAUUGAAAUGGUAAAUUGUCUUGCUUGCUAAAUUUUUUUUUUAUGUGCAUUGUAUUAGCCUCUUGAAGAACCAGAGAAAAUGAUCAAUAUUAUUCUUCAAGCUCUGGAAAUAACUGGACAGAGAGGCGUCAUCAACCGAGGCUGGGGUGGCCUUGGUAAUUGUAAGUCCUGAUUCUUAAAAAAAGAUUAUUUUCAAGCACAUUGUAUUCUUAUGCUUCUUUACUUCUGAAAGCCUUCCUAUAUUUCUCUUCUUAGUGGACAAUUGCCCCCUUGAUUGGCUAUUCCAACGAUGAUCUGCUGUGGUAAAUUUCAAUGCUUUUAAUUCUUUUUAAAGUUAUUGCAAUUCAAUUGCUAUAGUUGUACAAGAAAAUCUGUCUUUAGGUCAAACUACAUUAAUGUAUUUGAUACACAACAAUUUCUCCUGAAGCCACUUUUGGUGGGGCUUUUAACCCUAGGGCCACUCCAGAGGACCCUAGGGUAUAGCCGCAUCAAAAAAAGAGUACAUAUUUAAAGGAUCGCAUCAAAAAAUGACAAUAAAAAAGGAUCGCACAUAUUUAAGAUUCAAUCUAUUAUAAAGACGGCAUUCCUGCAUUCAUAUGAAGUAAAUCGAUGUGAUAAACAUGUCAAUGAUAAAAACUCUAGAUUGAGAGUUUGGAAGUGUUCCAAAUUAUGUCCGGCAAAUGAUCUUCUUGCUUCUUCUUCUUCUGCUUCUUCUUCUUCUUUGCAUUUUUGCUUGAUUUGCCAGAACACAGGAACCAACUCAUGGCUUGUUCUUCUAUCUCUUUACCUCAAAUAUUACUUGAGAGGCAGAGUUGGUUUAAAAUUCACAGAGACGCUAUUCAUUCCACUAUAUAACUUUUCAUUCAUGAACCCUUUUUGCAAAGGUACCCUUUUGUCUUUGGAAAAUACACACUCCUUUUCUCCGGUUAUUCAUCUCUUAUCGCAGGGUUGUUCUUUAGUCGCGCUCAAUCAUGACAAUAUAUAUUUCAGACACAGUGAGGCACUUCCUUAUUUUACAGAUGGAGUAUCUAGCAGACAUUCUGAUAAGAGCAGAACCGUUGGCCACUGGUUUGGCAUCAGAUGUGCAUGGGAAGGUAUGUGCUGGAACACAUUUUGUCACUUCACCAGAUUGAAUUUUCUAUAAAAUAGCUUCUCUAAUAUGGAAAAAGCAAGAGUCUAUUUCCUUUCUAAUAUGGAACAGUCCUAUAGCGAGUUCACUGGUUUUCACCCCAUGGUUUUUCAUUUCAUGCAUCUCUUCACCAGGAUAGAUUGCUAGAAACUAGAAAGUAUGUCUGUCAAAUCAUUCAUGUAUUGAGGUGCCUUUUGUGAAAGUCCCACAUCGAAAAUACACACUUCUAUAAAAGUGUUUAUAAACAAAGCACUGAUAAUCAAGUGAGUAUUGUUAACAUUGGGGAGUUGAGCUAAUAGCCUAGGCUAUGGGCUUUGCUUUCAUUAAUAAUAAUUAUAUUAAUUUUAAAUUGUGAAGAAAUUUUAAAACCAAAACAAAAAAAGAUUUUCUUUUAAUAAAGAGUAUAGCCGCGCGGCUAUACUAUUUAUAAUAUAAAAAAAGACCAGCCCAGAGCAUAGGCCCACGUGUCAAAAGGGUAGAGCCGCACGGCCGUACAAUUUUUUGAAAAAAAAGGGGGGGAAACGAGUAUAGCCGGGCGGCUAGACUAUUUCAUGGGAAAAAAAAAGGGCGGGGGGGAAGAAGAAUCUGGUACAGCCCGGCCUCAGCGCCUGUGCGCCACGUGUCAAACAAGUAAAGCCGCACGGCUAUACUAUGUUUGAAAACAAUUAAGAAAAACUGAGUAUAGCCGUGCGGCUAUACUGUUUAAAAAAUAUAGAUAUAUUACUUUUAUUCAAUAAUAUGUGAGAAUAUGUAUAUAAUACGUGAAUUUUGUGUGCCUCAUUGACAUUUUUGUAAAAAAUACGCAUAUUAAACAUGAGAAAUACGUGCGGACGUGUAUAAUACAUUAUUAAACGUGAAAGUACCAAGAUCUUUAUACGUAUAAUAAUUUUGGAAAACUAGAAAUUCGAAAAGGGACAAUAGUUACUCGAGUAAUGGCCUAAUAGUAAGGGAUUGAGCUCUUGGGCUAUGGAGAAAUUUAAUUGAGACACCCAAACGAUUUCACAAAACACUUAAUAAAUAGAAAUUAAUUAUUUUGUGCACUUUUUCUUUAAUUUUUUUGCAUCAAAUAGUAAUUAAAAUAUAAUUACUAACUAAAGUAAUUCAAAAAGGAUAAGAUAUUACUUAAUUAAAGAGGUAGGCCCAAAAAAAAGAGAGUAAAGAAACUAAAUUUUAAAUUGUGAAGAUAUUUUAAAACCAAAACAAAAAAAGAUUUUCUUAAUAAAGCGUAUAGCCGCGCGGCUAUACUAUUUAUAAUAUAAAAAAAAGACCAGCCCAGAGCAUAGGCCCACGUGUCAAAAGGGUAGAGCCGCCCGGCCGUACAAUUUUUUGAAAAAAAAAGGGGGAAAAACGAGUAUAGCCGGGCGGCUAGACUAUUUCAUGGAAAAAAAAAAGAGGGGGGGGGGGGGAAGAAGAAUCUGGUACAGCCCGGCCCCAGCGCCUGUGCGCCACAUGUCAAACAAGUAGAGCCACACGGCUAUACUAUGUUUGAAAAAAAUAAAGAAAAACUGAGUAUAGCCGUGCGGCUAUACUGUUUAAAAAAUAUAGAUAUAUUACUUUUAUUCAAUAAUAUGUGAGAAUAUGUAUAUAAUACGUGAAUUUUGUGCGGCUAUACUAUAUAUAACAAAAUAUAGUAGAGGCGCGAGGCGUUACGUUUUUUAUUUUAUAAAUUGAAUUUAAUAUAUAGUAUACACGAGCGGCUAUAUUCUUUUACAUACGUGUUCAUAUAUAUGUACACACACACAUAUGUAGGUACGUAUUUUUCAACAAUACAUUCGUGUUCUAUACACGUCUCACGUUUUCUUUAAAAAGCAAACAUACAAUAGUCGUGUUGUACAUGUACGUACGUAUUUCUAAUAUUUUAUACUAGUAUUUUUUAUAAAAUUUUCAGUAACACACACAAAUUCACGUAUUAUGCCAAUAAUUCUCACGUAUUAUUGAAUAAGAAUAACAUAUGGUAUAAAAAUUAUAUUAAAAUAUCAAAUAGUGGAAUAUUCAUAUCUACUUUGGAUAUGUUGCAAAUUGAUAUCCAUAAGGUACAAACCAAUGCAACUAGGAGGGUCCUUUUUUGUAUUUUUAAAAUUUUUUAUUAUUUUUAAAAAAAAAGAAAAAAAAAGAGUACAGCCGCACGGCUAUACUCAGUUUUGAAAUUUUUAUUAAAAAGAAACUUGUUGACACGUGGGCAUAAUGGCUGGGGUUUUUUUAUAUAUUUAAAAACAGUAUAGCCGCACGGCUAUACUCUGUUUUGAAUUUUUUUUAAAGAAAUAUAUGUGUUGACACGUGGCCCCUAUUGGUUGGGGGACUUUUUUCACAUUUAAAAAUAGUAUAGCCGGGCGGCUAUACUCUGUUUUGAAAUUUUUUUUAUUAGAAAGGAAUGUGUUGACACGUGGGCAUAAUGGCUGGGGCUCUUUUUUUAUAUUUAAAAAUAGUAGAGCCGCACGGCUAUACGCGGUUUGGAAUUUUUUUAAAAGAAAUGUAUGUAUUGACACGUGGGCAUAAUGGCUGGGGUCUUUUUUUAUAUUUAAAAAUAGUAUAGCCGCUCGGCUAUACUCGGUUUUGAAUUUUUUUUAAAGAAAUAUAUGUGUUGACACGUGGGCAUAAUGGCUGGGGGUCUUUUUUUAUAUUUUAAAAAAGUAUAGCCGCACGGCUACACUCUGUUUUGAAUUUUUUUUAAAAAGACACGUGGCCCCUAUUGGUUGGGGGACUUUUUUUAUAUUUAAAAAUAGUCUAGCCGUGCCGCACGGCUAGACUAUUUCAUGGGGAAAAAAUAGUAUAGCAGCACGGCUAUACUAUGUUUGAAAACAAUUAAGAAAAACUGCGUAUAGCCGUGCGGCUAUACUGUUUAAAAAAUAUAGAUAUAUUACUUUUAUUCAAUAAUAUGUGAGAAUAUGUAUAUAAUACGUGAAUUUUGUGUGCCUUAUUGAAAUUUUUGUAAAAAAUACGCAUAUUAAACAUGAGAAAUACGUGCGGACGUGUAUAAUACAUUAUUAAACGUGAAAGUACCAAGAUCUUUAUACAUAUAAUAAUUUUGGAAAAGUAAAAAUUCGAAAAGGGACAAUAGUUACUCGAGUAAUGGCCUAAUAGUAACGGAUUGAGCUCUUGGGCUAUGGAGAAAUUUAAUUGAGACACCCAAACGAUUUCACAAAACACUUAAUAAAUAGAAAUUAAUUAUUUUGUGCACUUUUUCUUUAAUUUUUUUUUGCAUCAAAUAGUAAUUAAAAUAUAAUUACUAAUUAAAUUAAUUCAAAAAGGAUAAGAUAUUACUUAAUGAAAGAGGUAGGCCCAAAAAAAAAAGAGUAAAGAAACUAAUUUUAUAUUGUGAAGAUUUUUUAAAACCAAAACAAGAAAAGAUUUUCUUUUGAUAAAAAGUAUAGCCGAACGGCUAUACUAUUUAUAAUAUAAAAAGACGAGCCCAGCGCAUACGCGUCAAAAGGGUAGAGCCGCGCGGCUAUACGAUUUUUUGAAAAAAGGGGGGAAACGAGUAUAGCCGGUCGGCUAUACUAUUUCUUGAAAGAAAAAAAGGAAGAAGAAUCUGGUAUAGCCCGGCCCCAUCGCCCAUGCGCCACGUGUCAAAGAAAUAGAGCCGCACGGCUAUACUAUUUUUAAAAACAAUUAAGAAAAACUGAGAAUAGCCGUCCCGCUAUACUUUUUAAAAAAUACAGAUAUAUUACUUUUAUUCAAUAAUAUGAGAAUAUGUAUAUAAUACGUGAAUUUUGUGUGCCUUAUUGAAAUUUUUGUAAAAAACACGCGUAUUAAAGAUGAGAAAUACGUACGGACGUGUAUAAUACAUUAUUAAACAUGAAAUACCAAGAUCCUUAUACGUAUAAUAAUUCUGGAAAAGUAAAAAUUCGAAAAGGGACAAUAAUUGGUCGAGUAAUGGCCUAAUAGUAAUGGAUUGGGGUCUUGGGUUAUGGAGAAAUUUAAUCAAGACACCCAAACGAUUUCACAAAACCCUUAAUGAAUAGAAAUUAAUUAUUUUGUGCACUUUUUCUUUAAUUUUUUUGCAUCAAAUGCACUUGAAACACAAAACCAAGCAGAGAAAAUGCACUUGAAACACAAAACCAAGCAGAGAAAAUGGGUGGGUUUGGUCUUCAAAAUCUCUUUGCCUCAGAAUCUGACCAUAUGCCCUCACAAAAUUCCUUAUGCUGCUCAAAAUCUCUUUGCCUCAGAAGCCAUUUCUCUUGUUUUACAAGUAAAAAAUGAAGUAGAAAAGAAUAUUUGUGAGCUCUGUUUCUUCAGUUAAUUUCUCUCUUCUUGCAUAUUGGUCUAAACUUCUCAUAGGCACAAUAUUCUUGCAACCUUAACCCUUUCAUACCAUACCUUGCGAUUAACUACCUGGAUCGGUUCUUAUCCAAGCCAGAUAUUCUGGUGAUUAAAGAGCUUGAAGGUGUUCUUUAAUUUGGUGAAGGAGGCGACAGCUUGAGGGUUUUCUUUAAAGUCGGGAAAAAAAAAUGUAUAUUUAAAAAAAAAACCACCUGGACCCGCCUAGCUCCUAGGCGGGCGCCUAGGCUGAAUUUUUUUUAAAUUUUUCUGAUUCUACCGCAUUUAAUUUGUGGUGAUACACUGGAAUUGGCGUAAUUGUUUAUAGUUGGUGCUCUUCGUUUUGAAAUAUGAAGCGGACAAGUGUGGGACAAUUGUUAGAGUUGGCCUCCAUCUUCUCCUAUACAGAUUCUACAGGGACUAUAUAUGCGUUUCCUGCUAGAGGAAAUACCUUCUCAUUGUACAAUACCGCCAACAGUUUUUACCGGAGUAAUUAUUCCAAGUCAUUUCAACAAUAAGUGCAGUGAGACAUGAUUGCUUGGAAAAGGCUCUCCGAUAGAUGGAAGGAUGUCUCUUUCCCCAAGCCUCUGUAUCCACUUGUGCAUCCUGCUGUUUUGGUGGAAACUUAUGAACAAGGGGAAUGUGUCGAUGAUCUUCAAGGGCAUGAUCGGAUUAAAUCAAGAAAUCAAGGAGAGAGAGAGAGAUUUGAUUCUCCCUGAUUUCUUGUGGUUUAAUUAUUAGUAAGAGUUCAGAAGUUGUGGUCUUUGCUACUUUUCAGUAUGUUCUAAGUUAUCAGAAUUUCUUCUUUCAGGUGGACAACUUUAUUCAUGCAGACAUGGAUCCUGAAAAAUAUCCCUGUCCAGGUGGCUCAGAGCAAGUCUUCUCAGAAGCGACUCUUCAAAUCAAGGCCUCAUGUCAUUUUCCUUGAUUUAGGCAUGACUGCUAAACUCUCUAAAAGUGAUAGAGUAAAUUUAGUGGAAUUUUUCAAGGCUGUUGCUCUUCUUCGUGAUGGGCUUACUUCUGCUGAGUGCACACUCAGAAUAUCUAAGCAACACAAGUGCCCAGAUCCAAAGGCUUUCAUUGAGGUAAAAUCGUGAGGCAACUUAAAUUUAUUACUAGGAAUGAUUGGGAUAAGGUUGUAUGAUUUGAUUUUUCAAUAGGAACUUGGAAAUUCAUUAGUAAUUUUAUGUUUGUUUAUGAAACUCAACUCUCUUGAACCCUAAUUCACCUUCAAAGGUUUUGUCUUGUUAGAUUUUCCUUAACGGUUCUGGAGAUCUGUUGCAUUUAUCUUGUGUGGUUGUUCCUUAUUAAAUGACUUGCAAGUUUGAUAUUUGCCCUUUAAAUAUACAUUCCUCCUUUAUGCUAAGAUUACGCAAAGAAAGAAUUUCAUAUUAGAAUGCUUUUCAAUCCAACUUCCCCUGGUAAUACUUUCUUGUCUCAAAGCAUGAAUUUUGUCAAGCACAAUUGAAAUAUGUGAUAUACGUGUAGUAUUCACUCCUUUUUUGGUUUAUUCAUCAAUGUGUGUGUUGUUGUUGUAGACAAAUGCAGUUCCUCAAUGAUAUUAUGAACUCAGGAAGCUGUUGCUACAAGUUUCCCUCCUUAAUCUACAUUCUGUAUUUGAUUUUAGUCUAUAUUUGGCAAAAGUUUCUAAUCUUCUUCUUUUUAUAGCAAGGGGAGGCGGCAUUCACUUUCUGGGGUACUCCAGAAGGUGAUCAGCACAUCCUGCCCUUACUGGAGAAAUUUAGGCGUCAUAGAGUCAAUGUUGAUGGCAAUGUCUCUACUCACUGUCAUGGUAGCCACUUUGGUUCUUAAGGUAAUUUCUUUUUCCUUUAUCUACGGCAACUGAAGCAUGGAAAUUCUCUUAUGAAUUUCUGUAAUCUUUGCAAUAUAGGCAUGUGCAAUUUAUAGGAAACUCUUGUCCAUGUUGCAGAUCAACGUGAAUGAUUUUUCUUGAUGCCUACUUGUACUAUUUUUUAUGCCACUUUCCUGAUGUCUUUUGAUCAUUUCUUAUUCAUAUCUGUAUAUAUUUUUAGUUGAUGAGUAUCAUUUACAUUUAUACAUGAAAUCUAUUUCAAGUGUCAUGUCGUUUAUGGCUCAAAACAUCAACCCAGAGCCUUCGAUUGCUAAAUUUGGAGGAGUCAAAAAUUGUUUUUAGCAUAUUGUAAGAACUCUGAAAGUAACAUUUAGUCAUGUGUACUCCAUCAUUGUCUGAAAUGAACUGGAUUCCCGAAAGCCAGUCACGGAAGAUUUCAGAGAACCUUAGCUGCUAUUCUGCAAUAUGAGUUACCUCUCCUUGAUCUCUUAUACUAUAUCCAAACUUCGGACUGCUUUGUCCAACUGAAACUGAAACGGAUGAGAGGGAGUCAGUCAGGAUCAUCUCCACACUCUUAUACAGGCGUCUAUACGUAAACCCACGAGUCUGCAGAGCUUUAAGUUUCUUGCACUUUCUGACUUGUAAAUGAUGCAUUACAAUCUAGCCUUAGGGUUGAGAUUUGUAAAUAUAUAUAGACCAACAAACCCUGUUAGUUUUGCCUUGUCUAUUGGAUAGAGGAUUAUGUUUCAUCAAUGUAUAUGCUAAUGUCACUCCUUGUCAUACUUUUGGCUCUUCUGAGUUUUGUUUCUAAAUAGAUAGUUGACUUUGAGUGCAACAUGACUAAUUAUACGUUUAUAAAAAGUCUUGAUUUCCAGCCCUCCUGGCCAGGCUUUGCAAUCUGCAACUUUAUUUGAAAAAUCUGGCUACUUUUAUGACAACUUAAUUUGUCAACUAAGAAGCAACAAAAGGACGAAUAUGCAAUACCAGGGCUCUAAUAUGCACGAACCAAGCGUAAUAUUCUAAUCCUCUUGAUAAUAUGAUAGUAGCAGCUACGGUUAUUUUCAAUUUCGCAUCCUGCAGUUGUCCACUUAACCUCAAGGCAUGUGUUUGUCCCUGCAUUUUCAAUUUUGACAAUAAAGACCCUAUGUUUGUAAAUUUUUUGUAAUGUGACUAUGCCCUUAAGCUUGCUGUUAAGUGAUGAUUCGGCAUAUGUGGAACUCACUUUUUUAAUACUUAAUUGAUUAAAAUACUAUAAUAUAUAUAUAUAAACCCAAUUUAAAAAGGCUAAACUGUUGAUUUACCCCCUGAACUUGUACAUAACUUUCGAUUUAUCACCUAUUUCUCUUUCUUUUUAUUUUUUUUAAAAAAAAAGAAAAUUAAGGAUCUCAAUUAUUUUUUAGCCAAUUUCCCUUUACCAUUAAUUUUCCUCACAUUCCAUCAAUUUUUUCGUUAAAAAUAUCAUGUGCCAAGCAUGUGAGGCAAUUUGGUCAUUUUCCACCUUAACAAUAAUUAAAAUUUUGAGAAAAAAAAAGUAAAAAACAUAAAAUUAUAAUAAUUAAAAAACACAGAAAACCCUUUUCGUACCCCUCAGCCCCCUCCGACGCGGCUCCCUCCCUCCCAGAACUUCUCCACACCCCAACCAACCUGACACCACCCACCCACCCACCUCUUCCUGCUCGUUACACCCACCACAAAAAUCACAACCCCACCUUGUAAAAACUCAAAACAAAUCAAUACCCAACCCACAACAAAGAUUGAGAAAAAUACAAAGCAUUCCCUAACCCACAACAUCUCUAUUAUCUCUGUCAUUAUUUGUUUAUUUUAAUCGUUCUUUUCUUAAUUUUCAAUUAUAUUUUAAAUAUAUAUAUAUAUUUUUAGGGAACUUUGGUUUGUAGUCAAUAGGUCGUUCAUUUUUUUAAAGACAUUUCCUAUUGAGGAAGUAAUUGUUCCAAAUCACUACACUAGUAGAUCAUUUACACUAUUUUAAGCAAUUAAGUAUAAAAGCAGAUAGUUUUCCCCUCAUUAAUCACAUGUGCAAAAACUUGGGUAACCUCAGUAGUAUUGAGGUUUGGGAUAAAUAAAAAAUAGUAUUGAGGUUGAAUUUAAAAAAAAAAAAAAAAAGGGUAAUAUCCUUUUUGUGACACUUCUUCAUUUUUCCAAUAGGUGAUUACAAUAACAAAUACGUGAUUGGUUAAAUAGUGAGAGCAAUUGAAUAAAAAUAAUGUAAUCAAUUUUAUAAGAAAAUUAAAGCAUGGAAACAUAAAAUCCCAGCAGGUGGUGGUGUGGCCUGUGCCCUAAUUCCUUAAAACUACUCUCUACCUGCCAUAUAUCCCAAAAACCAAACUUGCUACUAAUACUACUAUAGUCUACUACUACUUUCCAUUCCUUGUGAUUAAUUAAUUGAUGCGUGAUUGUUCUUCAACCUUCAAGCGAUCCAUCAGCUUUUCAAGAGACAGAUGCUCCUCCUCAUCCUCACGCAUCAACUUGAUGCGCACAUCCUCCCAAGAGGGGGGGAGUUUGGAGAUGAUUGUAUUCACAUGAAAUUCCUCGUCUAUCGCCAUUUCUUCACAUUUAACCAGUUCUUUGAACCUUGCAUUCAGUUCUUCAACUUGCUGCUCCACCAUUGGUUCCUCUUCAAGGAAAUGAUAUUCCAGGUAAUCUGGAACGCAAGAAUUGUGUUCUCCAAACCUCGAUUGUAGCUCCUGCCACAGUUGCUUAGCACUUGUUUUCUUCCCCCUCUUUGAGUAAUGAAGGAAGAGAUCAUCAGAUAGAUGGUUCAAGAUUGUAUGAAAACACAGGGAGUCAUUCUUGUUUCAUAUCUCUUCAGCAGCCCUUGAUAUAGCAAUUUCUUCAACACUUGCUUCAGUUUUUACCAAAAAUCUUGGGCAUGGCGCAUAGAGCACACGUGUAAGACUAUUAUCUAGGACGUAGGAAUGCAUUCUAUAACUCCAAAUAUUGUAGUUCUUCCCAUCCAAACGAAUAUUGUCGACGGCAACAAUUACUUCAUCAUUAGUAGAACAUGAACAUGACAACACAACAAGAAUAGACAAGCCAAAAUCAUCACAAGCUCUAGAUUUCAGAUUCGGUACCUACAAAAUCUAUUAGGGGGUGAGCGAAACCACAGCUCAGUAGGGACAUAAACCUUUUCACGGUAAAUUGAUAUAAUUAAAUUAAGUGACAAAUAAUUACGCAGCCAAAUUUCACAUUAUUAAUAACAGUGCAUGAAUGCUCUUCAUCUAAUCCUGUUAAUUCAUAUAACUAGACAAGCAGACCUGCACGUCCCAUACCAUGCUUAUACCACUUGGUCCCGAAUGCCCAUUUAUAUGAACUAACACCCAUUUCAAUCAUCCCAUAAUUUCCCUUUUGUUAGUCAUCUUGUCUAACUCCCUUUCGUCAGUCCCGAAUCACCCAAUAGAAAUCAUGUGCACUGUGGGAUCCCUGAGACCUGGUACUUGCCAAGAGUUAGACUCAACUACACAAAAGACCAUUCCCAUUACCCUUUUUUUUUCCACCAUUAUUUUCUCAACCCAAGAACUCCAAGUAAUUUCCAUGACAUUAUAUAGUUCUUUUGUUCACAUAUCUCAUAAAAAUAAUGUAAUCAUUUAAAUAUCACCAAUGUACAUAUCAUCAUGCCCACAUUGUUCAAACAGUUAAGAUUACAUAAACACCCAAUACAAGGAACGUAAAUCAAACAGUACCAGUCAUAACAUAAUGCUCACGAAAUUUAAUUAGAUCAAUCUCUACAAAAAGGUCCCCAAGAAACCCUCUACCUUGAUUCUAAUGUAAGAUAACUCUACAAUCCAACACCUUGAGUUCCUCGAAAGUCUGUCUUGUUCUACCAACACUAAAUAUUUUUCCUCUUCUUUCUUCUUUUUAUCACUUUCUUGUUCUAACAUGCACUACCAUGUAUGUCGUUCAAACAAUCAAAGCAAAUGGUUCCUAUUUAUAGUAGUUAAAAGGCGGCAACUAGUUGAUUUUAAUUGGUGAAGGGAUAUGUGGCUUAACAUAUAAAACUUUUGCUCCAAGUUUCACCAGCUCAUGCUUACAAAAGGAUUAGUCAUCAUAAAUAAUGACACUUGUAAGGCAAAGUGAAAUAGUAAAUUGCAAACAAUAAAAAUUUAGCUUAAAUGAUUUGCACGUCAAAAACCAAGUAAGGAAAAACUGCCACAUGUUAUCUAAACAUUCAACUCUAUCUAAAAUCCAUUCCUCCUAGUCUUUUAGAUUUUUACCAAAAAACAUUAUCAUGCAAGAGGUGUUGUAAAUGGAAUAGGAUUAGUGAACGACACAUGAAUAACAAACCAAAUAAACUAAAUAUUAUCAUAAACAUAGAAAUAUAUAAGUAUUAUUAUAAUAGUACAGUCCUGAUCUCUUGGACCCUGUAGUCCAAGAGAUUUGUGGUCACUCACCGUUGGAUGUAAAUUCAACGGUUCACUCACUCUUGCACUCUUUUUUAAAAACUUUUUUGAACCAUUGGAUUAAUAUCCAACGGUGGGUGACCACAAUCUCUUGAACUCCUGUGGUCCAAGAGAUCGGGACUGUAUAAUAGUAUUCAUAAUAAUUAGUAUAAAAGUAUAACAACAAUAUUUACAUAUAUGUACCAAGAUAAUUACACAUAUAAAUAUAACCAAUAUAUAUUUAUAUAUAUUUUAAAAUACGGGUCUUCACAUCUAUAGCCUUUUAUAAAAAUAAAAAAAUAAAAAAGGGGGUAAAUCUUGAGAUUUUCACUUUUUGACAGUUAUUAUUCUUUUAUCCAAUAUCUGUUAUUCAGUAGGUGAUUACAAAUAUAUGUUAUUAUUAAAAUAAAUAGUCAGAACAAUUGAAUAUAAAAAGAGUAAUCAAUUUUAAAAUAAAACAUGUCCAAGCUAAAAAAAACUACUAGUUUCCUUUCCUUCCUUUUGAUUAGUUAAUUCAACCUUCAAGAGAGAUCUAUAUCACUCAUUAACAAGGAAUUCCUCAUAUGUCGGCCAUUUUGUGAAAAGAAAGCAGAUCUUUGAACCUUGAAUUCAUUUCUUCAACUUGCUUCACCAUCGGUUUUUCUUCGAGCAAAUGACAUUCCAUGUCCUUUCGAACCCGAGAUUUGCGUCCUCCAAACCUCGAAUUUAGCUCACGCCACAGUCGCUUAGCAAUUGUUUUCUUACUCCUCUUUGAGUAAUGAAGGGAGAGAUCAUUAUCAGAUGGAUGGUUCAAGAUUGUAUGAAAACGCAAGGAGUCAUCAUUGUUCCAUAUCUCUUUGUUGUUUUUGAUGUUGUGAAACUGUGGGUUGUCCAAGUUCAGAUUCUUUUGAAUAUCAAGACGGAUCUGUAAGAACUCUAGUUGAGCUUGCAUCUAUUUAGAAGUCUUAGAUAACCAAGAAUACAAGGAAAACAAGAACUCAACUAGCCGGUUAUUACUUGUAUAUAAAGAUAAGUUCUAUAUCAAGAUGGAAUGCCUAUUAUAUUAGGUUUUGGAUACAAGAGGUGAUAAGGAUAGACUUUGAGGAUUCCUUUAUGGGCAAGGAACUGAGAGAUCUUCACCGUAUAAAAGCUAGGGUUCGGUUCCCCGGACAUGAAUUGCUGUUAUGGCUUCUAUAUACUGAUUUGAGUGUCCAAAUGAAUUGUAAUUUCCUAAAGGCAAAGACAAAGUCACUAACUAGUGCACUUCAAUAAACAACUCACAUAGAACGGAACUAAAAAAGAGAGUAACCAAACAUAGGAAUAAGGGUUUCACCUUCGUCUCCUCCUUCCAUCUCCAUACUUUAAAUUUUAGAAAUUCCAGUCAUGUUGUUUGCUAAUUUGUUUGUCUUUGAUAAAAUAAACUAAAAACUGUAAUAAUUUCUUACAUGGAAUAAAAACAAAAACAAAAACCUCCGAUGUGUUCAUAGGCAAACGUACUCUUCUUCAACCCUCAAACUAUCCAUCAACACUUCUAAAGUCAACGGCUUCUCCUUCCCCGUCAAUGACUUGAUGUUUGAGUACUUCCAAGAGGCAGGGAGCUUGGCUAAGAUGGCAGAGACAUGAAAUUUCUCACUCAACGUCAUUCCAGAAGCCACAACGUCAUCGAAAAUGCGAUUGAAUUCUUGAACUUGCUCCACAACUGUCUUCUCAUCAACCAUCUGAAAUUCCAUGUACUUUCUAACCAGAGAUCUCUUUGUUCCGAACAUUAAUUUUAGAUCGUCCCACAGUUGUUUAGCAGUUGUAGUUUUCUUUCUCUUUGCGUAACGAUGGAGGAGAUCAUCACAUAGAUAGUUCAAGAUGGUGCGAAGGCACAUAAAGUCAUCCUUGAUCCAUUUCUCUUCAGCAGCCUUCGAUUCAGCAAUUUCUUCAGUAGUUGCUUCAGAUCCUAGCAUAAUGCCAGGGCAUGGCUCAUAGAGUACAUAUUCAACUUUUAAUUCCUUGAGGAAAAACUCCAUUCGCCGUGCCCAGAUCGUGUAGUUCUUCCCAUCAAGACGAACGGGGUCAAUGGGAACAAGUUCUUGAGGAGCAAGACCAGUCACUGUUGAAUUAGACAUGCCAUCUUCGGUUUGCUCAUUGUCAUGCUCAGAUCUCAACUUUGACUCAAUCUUGGCGACCUCAUGUAUGUCUUGGGUCCAUGGGCCCUCUCUUUGAAGGCUUUCCAAAUUACUGAAAACAUAGCAUCAAUACAAAUCACUUGAAAUUAAUCCAACCAAUGCUCAUUUAACUGUUAGAAAGUAUAAGAGAGAAGGCCAACCAAACAACUUAUUAAUGUCUUGAACACACUCAGGUCAUAUGGGAAUGCAUAUACAGGGAAAGAGAUCAUUAAAUAAAAUUAAACAGUAAUUCAUACACAUUUCUAACCUAAACCAGGGCCAGGAGUCAGUAAAUUGCCAUGAGAAAAUAAUAAGAUCAAUAAAUAAGAUAAAUUGGUGUAUGGUACCAUAAGCAGAAACCAGCUUUCCAUCUCUUCCUUCAAAUUUUUCUUCAAAUUCCGCCAACAAUGUCAUUCUCUUCUUUGGUAUUGGUACCUAAUAAAACAAAAGAAUUAAUUUAGAUCAGAAGCCCACAAAUUUAUACACCAAAAAGUUCUGGAAUUCGUAUAUAAUUUCUAUUAAUAUAAUCCCAUAAAAAUCUAAGUUUCUCUUGUUUUUGCCUGCAAUUGUUCAUCCAUCAAACAGAAUCCAGAGCCGAGGGCUUUAGAAACCUAACAAAGUACUUAUUUUUAUUGCUUAAAAAAGAAGAAGAAAACCUAAUUGUGUAACUCACUAAACACUCAUACAAAGAAACCUAUAUAUUAUUGAAGAAUUCAAUUUUCUUUCCGUUUCCUACACUUUCUAAGUAACCAAACGUAGAAAUUAGGUUUUCACCUUCGUCUCCUUCAGCCCUUCUCCACCAUUCCGGCCCAUAGCAGACGGAUCGAUUACGAGUCGCUCGGAGUCCAUGUCUCCGACUGUUUUUAUGCUUUGAAAAGUCUGAAACUAUUAUACUCUUUUAUUUAUUAUAUUCUAAAGGUUGGUGAUAUUCAAAUUCUACUUUCAAGUUUUCAUUAAUUUCUAAAGGUUGGUGGUAUUUUAGUCAAAUUCUACUUCAGUCCCUAUAAUUUAAAUUCUGAACAUGUCGUUUGUUAAAUUUAAUCCAAACUAGCCGAGCGUGUGCCAAUUGGUUUUAUUUUAUUUUUUAAUUUUAUUUUUAGUAUUAAGAAAAGAUAACAUGGGUAGUUAUGUUUCAUAAAGUAUGACUUAUUAUCUGAUUUUGUUUUUAUUUUUAAUUUUUUAAUAUAAAAAUGUGAAUUUGCCAUAUUAUCUUCAUUUAAUUAAUAAUUUCAAUUCUUAAUGUUUGAAUUAACCAAUGACAAUUUCUAGUAUUUUGAAUGUUUCAUCAUUUUCUACCUUUUGCUUUAUAUAUAGAUUACAAAUCUCACCAAUUUUAUAGACACAAAUUUGAUGUGAAUGUGGCAACGUGCUAUUUUCUUGUAGACCAUGUCAAAUCUAAAUGUAAGCUACAUGCGUCAAAUGCCUAUUUCUAAAGCUUGGUUCGUGUAGAUUGGUCACUUGGAAAACUUCAAACUGUGAAUCAGAUCGAAUCAGCCAAUUCGGUCUGGUUUGACACCAAAAUUAAAUAAAGAGAUAAUAAAAAGUCAAACCAAACCAACUCAAUCGAUUUGGUUUGGCCUGAUUGCCAAUUUUUCGAGUUUUCGGUUUGAUAUUUUCUUUGUCUUCUAUGUUCUUUGUAUUUAAAAUGAAUCAUAUUCUAUAACCAUAAAAAUGAGAAAUACGGAAUAUUAAAAUGGCUAGUUUUGUUGGUUGUCUUCAUAUUUCUCUUGGAUUUGAUUUAAUAUCUUCUUGAGUUUGAUUUAAUUUAUUUUCUAUUUGUGGGUUUGAUUUAAUUUGUUUUGUGAUUUCUGCAAUUUGAUUAUGGGUUUGAUAUUGCAAAAGCGUAGAAGAAGAAUGGAGAAAAGGGGAUUUGACGGGGAAAGGAGGAAGAUUGGCGUGAGUUUGUUGCAGAUAAUAAGAUGUUAGUUGCAGAUAUAAGGAAGCAGAAGUGAUUGGUUAUCUUUGGAAUUAAGCAAACACAGGAAAUAGAGGAAGAGCAAAGGUGCAGGUAGGGGCGAUGGAAGGGGAGACUGAGAUGGAAAAGUUACAAUAAUAAGGUGCAAAAGUGGGAGACUUUGUCUAAUACAAUUAUAUUGACGUAUACUAAUUAAAAUUCGUUAUAUUAAUCAAAUAAUUAAAUUUUACUUAAAUACAUCGAUGCUAAAUGCAAAUGCUCAAAAUCUCAUUCGUAUUUGGUUUGAGGGUUGGUCAAGGGCCUACAGCACAGUUGAGAAAAUAGGAACCUAAAAAUAAUCAAAUAUGAAAGUGAUUAGAUGCCACCAGACUCCACAAGAUGGACCUACUGAAAAUGAAUUGAAUAUGAUUCUCCUCUCUAUGAAAAAAUAAUAACAUCCCACCAAUAAACUUAGCAUAAAAAGGAAGAGGGGAAUCUAUUCCCAUAUUCCAAUUCCAACUCCAAUUUCCAAUUUCCAGCUUCCAAAACUCCAUUGUCUCUCUCUCUCUCUCUCUCUCUCUCUCUCUCACUGAGACUAAUAUUCAAUCAAUCCGAGCCGUCCAAACAACUUGAUCCAACGAUGGAGAGCAACAACUGCAUGUCCGUGCUGUCGUGUGUGGGCACCAACGUCGCCUCAGCCUUCUUCGCCUCACUGGAACGCUGCUCCUGCAUCAACCUCAACACCACCGAUUUCGACGACGACAAUCACGCCAUCAACGACGACGACGGCCGCCCUCUUUUCCUCACCUCCUCCAGGCCCACAGCGGCCCACCAAGCCCAGCCCAUCAUCGACCCCAAUCAGCCCAUCAACAAGCCCGCCGCCGCCGCCACCCACCACCUCAACAACGGCGUUUCAGCUUGAUUGGCUGCUGCAGUCCACACGCAGCCUCCGCUCACGGUGAUUUUACCAUACACUCAACUCAACUCAAGAAGAAGAUAGAAAUUUCACUGCUUUUUAGCUUUAUGUUUAGCUUGUGUAUUGUAUGGUCUUGGUUUGUAUCUGUAAUUUGUGUCCAUGCGCGUUGAAAUUGUAAUUGGAUUUCGUAGGCCACUUUUUGCUUGUGAAAUGAAUUGGGAAUUUUGUAAAUUCUGUUGAUAGAGUUCGAAAAGGGGGAAGUUUUGCUUUCGUGUCAACGUACAACCUUCACUGCGUAGCGUACAACUACCUUAUGCAUGUAGAUGUAGUGCUCCAACAUUUCUUGUUAUACUUUAAUUGUAGUUUUAAAGUGCUCAUUAUCUUUCUGAAACUCUGUUUGAUAAUUUGAUUCAUAUGCAGUCAUUGGAUGCUACAUUUCUGCUAAAAUCAGUGUUUUUUUUCUUUUGAUGCUAAAAUUUCAGUUAUGGUUUCGCUGUAACGUAUAGUUUGGUGAGACUAGGCAAGAACCAACCUCGUGCAGUCAAUGCCAAUUGUCCAAGUCCUGGUAUUGGUUUACGUCACUUUAGCUUGAAAAUGGCAUUGACAACUCACUUUCACUCACACAGCAGUCGGUGGAUUUUGUUCAAUAGUGUACUCAAUUGUUUAAUGCUUCUUGAAGCCUCUGGUGUUUGGAGUUACCCUGCUACUUGGUAUACUCUAGGCAUGUAGAAAGGAAAGAAAAUCUUACUGGUCACCUGCAUUUGGAUGAAGAAUUUGUGUUUUUUCAUUGUUUGAAUUGAUAAAAAUCAUACUGAAUUUCCUUUGUGUUAUAAUUGGUUGCUUCUGAGUUUAUCGAAGCGUUAUCGUCUAGCUUGGACCUUGGGAAGUUUUGGCAUUUGUCUUAGUGGUUUCUUAUGUUUCUGGUCAUUUAAACCAAGCAUUUGCAUCACAAGCUAAACAUCUCAUGGAUGUAUAUAAUAUAUGUGCAUUGUAAUUGACACUCUUUGUGAGUGGUUGGAUGCUGC
Molecule: long non-coding RNA, 86029 nt
Filed under: Prunus persica (peach)
Lineage: Eukaryota; Viridiplantae; Streptophyta; Magnoliopsida; Rosales; Rosaceae
Description: long non-coding RNA (PPER_LNC002761)
Rfam family: Plant small nucleolar RNA R71 (bases 7692-7798)
Source: RNAcentral